AAAGACAGAGUUAUGGAUAAUUAGGAGAGGAAAAUUUUUGAAAAGAAGAAACAUUUAAACAUGGGAAAUGAUGGGUUUUUUAUCAUCUUUUUCCCUUGAUUCUUUUGGGGUGGUAAUCGUAGGGGAUUUAGCGACAACUUCUAAGUCAAAAUUCAUUAUGGGUUCGGUAUAACGGGAAGUUUCUUGAUACGAAUACAGAGCCUCAACAAGUUAAUGGCAGUAAGUUUAAGACUGAAUCGAGAAUAUUUUGAAGUCUUUCUGGACCUCCUCUUUCCGUUUGUUUGGGUUCGUGUCUGUGCUCGCCUGAUUGAAAGAUCGUCACCCUCAAACUCGUAGUCUUAUUUUACUACACUGGAAAAGGUAAACUUAUUCUCAACUUCUCACUCUUAAACAAUUUUUUUAGUGUUUGAUCAUGUGUUUGGUAUGAACUAAAAUGUAUGUGUGUAUUGCUUCUUGUCUUUAAAAAAUGCUUUCGUUCUUGUUUAGUUUGAGAUUUCUCUAUGUGGAAAGGUUGUUUGGUUUAUUGAAUCAGCACCUGGGUUGUUUAAAUUAUAUAUAAACUUUUUCUAGAUAGUUAAAGGCUGAAUACUCUACUAAUAUUUGAACUUAAUUUGUUUUUAUUUCCGUGCUUUGGCUUUGUUUCUGUUGUUUCUUUGCUCAUUGGGUUUAAUGUUGAUUAGGGAGAUGGAACUUUGAUUAUGUUUUUUUGGUUUUUCAACGGGUGGUAGAGUCUUAAAAUACUCUAAUAUGAAGCUCGUAUGAUGUUAUCCAUGGCUUAUUGAGGUGGUAGCUCAAUUUGCCUAUAAGCCUCAGAAAGUAAUGUGCUGUGGAGCAUGUUAAUGGUCAUUAUAUAUGCCUAAACUUAAUGUCAUUUGUUUUCUUGAACUAUUCCACGUGUUAUUAUCUUGUAAUCUUUUCUGAGUUAUUUUCUUGAGAAUAUUGCUUGGGCUUGUAUUAUGAAGUUUCUAUUUGAUCCUUUUAUUCGUCUUAAAUUAUUGGUAUUUUAAUACCUUUCCCCCUCUCUACAUGCUAAAAUUUUCUGAAAAUCUGACUUAUUAAGUUGAUUGAAACAAUUUGAUUAAUUUGUCCCGUUAGUCUCGAUUCCAGUCAUGUUUUUUAUAGAUGAAAUGAUUGUUUAAAGCAUUAGUAUCACUGAUUCCCAAUUUUGUUGUGUAUGUCAUAAACAAUGUAUAAACGAAAUGAUACAAUAUAUAAGUUUGCUUUCUCUUUUCCUUUGAAGCUACCAUUUUGUUUGCCAUAUUGUGGAGUUGAUAAAUAAAAAGAGCAAUAUAGAUGAUAGUGCAUUCUGUGAUUUUAAAGUCGUCGCACUGAUUGAUUAAAUACUAUUAUUUUAUUUCUUUUCGUAGCAUGUGAUACUAUCCGAGUUCAGUAUGAACCUUCAUUUUCCCUUUGCAUCUAGCUUGAGAGACUUUGAGGCUCGAAUCCCUUAUUAUUUAAAGUCCAAAACAAAAGGAAGGAUCCAAAGUUGAAAGAGUUGAAGAUAUUUGAAGACGUUGGAUUAGACAACCUUUCUUUUUUAUUCUCUUUUCUUUUUUAUUAUUUUUAAUGGGCCUAAAACCUUGUCGUCCUUCAUUUUCCCUUUCAUUUAUUAUUAUUAUUUUUAGUCUAGGACAAGUCCGAAAGAAUAUGGGUUGAAACCCAAAAAGUCAAAUGAGUUAAAACUCAAAGACAGGUGGGUCUAGCUACCGUUCAAGGCGAACAGAAAACUCGGAUUUGGACCCAAAUCUCUCUCCUCUCUAUCUUUACUUGCUUGUUAUUGCUUAUCUAUUUUUCUUUUCUUUAGUUUUAAAGGUUAGGAAAAUUCAAUUCCCCACUAAAAGCCACUAUGGUUUAACAACUCAAUCAAAUCAUAUAAAUGAUUUAAGAGUUUUACAUAUUAAAAUUAACAUUAGAUAAAUAAUUUUUCACUUUAAAAACAAUCUUAAAAGAUUCGGCACUUCAUUUUUAAACAACUUUAAGUAAUGUUUUAUCAGACUUUUAAGUUUAGCCAAAUAAAUUAGUUGUCGAAUAACCAUGUUAAGCGGACGUCUUGGGUGCUUCAAAAACCUUCAAAAGAAAUUAAUAGGAAUCACCGAGUCCCUCGGAUUUUUUUAAACAAUUUUUCUACUAAGUCUUUGGAAACCUUAGUUUUUAUGAUUUUUUCUAAAAAAAAUUAAGUGACGAUUCUAAAAAAGUCAAAAAACAAACUCACAAAAAUAUUUUUUUGAUGUAAACUUAGGUUUGUCAUUAAUUUCCAACCUCCUUUUGAAGUACCACUAACAUAAGACUUAACCCUCUUGGCUUCUCUAUUCUUUUUUCUUAACCUAGUUUCUUCAACUUGCUGAGCAUGAACCAUGAGAGGAGAGAUAUUCUUAUUAUCAUGAAGCAUAGACGAACGACAUUCUUCCACCAAGUCAUCAGACAUUCCUAUAAGAAAAUGACUCAUCUCAUCCAUGGGACUUGAAACCAAAGAGAAAGCAUACUUGAACAACUUAGUAAACUUCAAAGAGUAGUCAAGUACACUCAUACCUCCUAGACGAAGGUUUAUGAAUUCUUCCGCCUUAGCUUCCCUCUUCUCUCUAGGAAAGAGUCUAUCAAGGAAAACCCUCUUAAAGAUAACCAUGUAACUGGACCACCUCUUAGUGCCUUAUUGUCUCUCCAUUAAACAUACCAAGUUUGAGGCACAUCUUUGAGUUAAUAAGACACCAACUUUGCCUUCUCAAUUGUGGUAACACCCACAACAUAGAGAAUCUUAUGGACCUCAUCGAGUAAAUUUUGAGGGUCCUCAUCUUACCUCGACCAAAAGAACAUAGGUGGACUCAUUAUAGUAAAGUCUCUCAACCGAGAAGCCAUAGUGUUAGCAUUAUGAGUCACUCGAGGUCUAACCCUCCUAUUCACUUGUGCCAUCAUGGCUUGGACUUGAGAAAUGACGGAAUUAGCUUGAGAGGUCAUGGCUUGGGCGAAAUUGAGAAAUAUUACCCUUAUCUCUCCACCGGUCAUUAGUGGAGGAAAAUCCGGAACAUGAUCACCCAUUGCAACUUCUUCAAGUUAAGGCACUUGGUUGUCUUUUAAAGGCACUUAAUUUUAUUGAUCUCCCAUAGUAGACAUUUCUUCCUCGACCCUUCUAUCCACUGCUCUUCGAGUAUUCAUACCUAUAACCACAAUAAAAGGUAUAGGUUAAAGCACAUAACAAGACUCUAGAGGCACAACAUAGGAAAAUAGGAAUAUGAAAGUUUCUAAGCAUCACAUAAUCUCUCAUUCAUAUGUGUGGCGCGCUUCACAAUUAUGAAUUAGAAUUCUACAUACACGUGGUUUAAUGAGACAUCAUUUCUAGGUAUAUUUAACCGCUUGAUCUUAUACUAUGUUUGUUACAUCCGAGAAGUACCCCCUAGAUGUAAUCGGUGUCGUCUUCCUCGCAGAGGAAUAAGACUAGCCUAUUAGCAUUAGUCAUUACAUUCAUCAGUUAAAAACAAAGAAAAUUUAAAAAAAUUCAUCUACACUAUUUCAUGAGGUUUACUUAGACAUCUCAAUUACACAUAAUAUAUACAUAGACCCUUGUUAUAUAAGAUUACAUGGUCUUCUACUUUUAUGGCUAUAUAUAUACUGUAAGUAACAUAGUGUUGAAAGGGAUUUCUAAUAUUAAUCAUCUAAACAUAGCCGAAUCAACAUGGGCAUAAGACCUUAAACAAUGUAGAAAUGCCACUUUGAACUUACAAUGAUAUCUUACAACAACAUGAAUGAAAUGAUUAUCUUUAUACUAUAAUAAAGAACCAUAGCUAAAGUAAUAUCAAGGCAUCAUCCUCGAACAUGAGGAUAUACCUACAAUUGGAGAAUUAUUCCAAGCCUUCCUUCAAAAUGGUCACGAACCUUUUGACGUCCCAAACCUAAAAUGUUGAGGAAAAAGAGAAAAAUGGGUUUAGCACAUCAUUUGUACUAAGUAUAGGAUCAUAUGCACAUGCAACAUAUAAAUCUUGCAAAAAAAGGGCAUCAAUUCAAAAUAAUGCAAGAAUACUUUGGAAGUACCUUAUGCACAUUCAAAACUCAAUACAAGUCAAUAAACACAUACCACUUAACUCGGGACCAUGCAUAUAACAAGACCAACAAUACAAGGUCUAGUCAAGUCAACAUGCAUAUCAACAAAAUUGCGAACAUAAUAAAGAAAACUCUAUCAUAAAGUUAUAAUACUACCAAGCACGCAUAAGAGUUCAUAACAUCAUAACCUAAGAAAUACCAUCACUCAUACACCAUCAUAAGUCCACCAGUGCAAUGAUUAAGUAUGGCCUCAUAACCUCACUCAAGCAAGUAAACCCAACAAGAACUAUACGAAAUGUACAAAAUUACAUACUAUAUAAUUAAGAGUAGACAUCAUCUUACUUUAGCAAUAGAUACAAAACACAUGUUUAUAAGUGAAACCAAUAUCACCUAGUGUCAUCAACAUGUAAGAUGAACGUAUAGAUAUCAUUUACAUUUAUAAUCAUAUAAGAACAUAAUAACAUCCUUCUAGAACUUCCCUCAAGGCUUUCUAGUGCAAAGUAUAGAUAGAGUCUCAUACCCCAACCUAGACUAACUCGAACCCCAUAGGUCAUCCUAGUUAGAGUUCACUUUGUUACUUCGUUUUAACUUUUGGGAACAUCUUCCAUUAACCAACAUAGACCACAUGAGCUAAUGUGGAAUCCAGUCAUGAAACUAUUCACCGAAAAAGGUGGACUACUUGCCAAGGUAGUACCAAAACAUGAGCAUAGCAUCUAUAUGGAUCAACUAGCUAGUAUUCCUGUGGUGGCGAAAUUGUUCAAGAACUAGGAGAUGUAGUUGGGACCGUCUUUAUGCUACAUGCAUUAUCGUCUUCAAUCUCAUGAGUGCAAUAGUGAACCUACCUUCCCCAUAUCAGAAGGGACACUCCUCACUACUAGUUCACUCGGUUCUAAGAUAGAAUCUCUUUUGAAAUGUCUUUCAUUAAUAAUAAUAACUUAAUUUAGGUCAUAGAGGUAAACGCCAUAUAUAUUCAUAGACAUAGCUUAAUAGGAAUUUCACAAAUAUGUAGUUAUAAAUAAAAUUCACAAAUCUGAGGUUUGCACAUUUACAUGAUCAUAUCAUAAUAAGGCACAUAGUCAAAUUCAUAACCAACCCUAUAUCAUCAAAUCUUAGCAAACAACUCAGAAUCCAUAAAUCAAGACAUUUUAAUUCAAUAUGAUACCAAAAUUGAUCAAUAUAAUCAUGAGUUUUACAUCAAUAUAACUUCAUCACUAAACACAACAAAUCAUAAUUGAAGUAAAGGUUUCAUAUCACAAGACUUACCCCUAUCUCCUUCACAAGCCAUCAUCCAAUGUUUUAUAAUCAACCAUCCAAUCAACCAAAUAAUGGGUGUAAUACUAUACCACAAUAGUAAUUAACAGAAUAAUGAAGUCAACAGAAUUACUAAACAUCAAUUAAUCACUAAUUCAUAAACUAGGGUUAGGGACUUGGGGUCAUAUUCAAGAUUUAAUCUACAAAACUAGGUUAACUCACUAAGAACUAGAAUAAUUAAAUCAUAAAAAAUCAUAAUCUAAACAUAAUAAUAAAAAUAAACCAUAUAAAAUACAAUUUAGAAGAUCCAAUUUGUAAUAGAAAAAAACUCACUCGAAACUCAUCUUUUUGAAAACAAUUUUUGAAGAACCCUUUGGAAAAAGGAAUCCCAAAUCUUAAAGGAUCUCAUACCUUUUUAAUUUAUGAAUAUUUAUGGAUGGAACUUUACUUCUUGAUUCCCUAGAACCCACCUUGACCUUGGUCUUGUUUGGAGUUUAUUUGGGAGACAGAAAGUAGAGAGAAGGAAGAGCUAUUGUGUUUUUGGGAAUUAUGAGAGUUGGGUUAAUUUAAUUAGGAUUGUAUCUUUAUGUAUGUCAUUAAAUAAAUUAUUUAACCUAACAUAACCCAUAAUUAAUUAACUAACCACAUAAUUAAUUAUUUGAACUAAUUGAGAAUUUGGCAGCCAACAGUGACCCAGACUUACAAGACCCCGACCACAUAAUCAAGGGACGACUAUGACGUUCAACGACUAGUCACCUAUGUGCAUCGUUUUUGUUUGAUAUGCUUAUAAGCGUAUCAUGAUAUGAUGAUGUGCUUAUAUGAGUUAUAAUAAUAUUUAUAGGCAUUGUGUCAAGUUUAAUGAAAUGUUGAGGUCAAACGUCUAUGAACGUCCAUGAUGUUUGAAAUAUUUUCGAUGAAAUUACCAUGUGUAUUUUAGUAUGUUUCAUCCGAGUUUUAUGUGUUUUUUUUGGAUAAAAAUUAAUAUUAGAGGUCCUAAACUCGUAUAUGAGCAUAUUAUAGUUGAAAACUAGCAAACAAAAGUCCCAAAGUUCCAACAAAGGUUCCUUGAGGAAGGACCCAUCUUGGUGGCGAAAAUGGCCAAAAGCAGACCUACCUACGGAUGGUAAUCGACGACCAGUAGCUUUGUCGAAGCCCCAUGGGUUGAGGGAUUUGUUCAAUACAUUGGAGUUUGAGGUUUGACUUACAAUGACCAGCACUUGUCCCAAAUCAGGGACCAGUAGGACGGUCCAUUUGUUGGGAGACGACCCAUCGAUAGCCAAGCGCAGGUGAUGCCUGCAACCUCUGCAGUUCACUAUUAAAUUCAACUAUGAAUUCGUAAGAUUUUGGGCCUUUUUUAAGAGUAUUAUUGAUAUUUUAAUAGGGUUUAUAAGUACUAAUUACUUAGAUGAAUUAUUAUUAUUUCAAAAUGAAAAUCCAAAUUCACUAAGAAAUUUUUUAGAACUCCAUCGAAGCCAAAACUCAAGAAAGAGGUUGGAUUGAAGAUUUUAUUGGUGAUUAUCCAUAAAUUUAGUGGUUUAUAUUCAUUGAGGUUUGGUUCUUCGUCCUUGAAACCCUUUUCAUCAAGGAUCCAUACUUCAAAUUUAUUUCUAAAGUAUUCUAAAGACAAACUAGUCAAAUUUUGAUAUCUAUCCAUUUGUUCUUGCAUUAAACAUUUUGAAUCAUUGUAUAUUGAUUGAAUUGAUGUUAAUUAUAUUAUAUUAACCUAAUUAAUCUAUGAACCCAUACAAUUCAUGAACCCUAUUUUUUGACUACUUUGUGGGUAAUAUGAUUAUGUCUUAAUGCUUAUGAAUUCUAGUGUAGUUUUUAUUGGGCUAUUGAAUGAUGUAUGAAUUGUAUUGAAUUUUGGUAUAGGCUGUUUUAUAUUGAUAAAUAUAUAUUGAAUUGACCUAUAUUUAUUGAAUAUUAUGAUUUUUGUGUUGAAUUGAUGAUCAUGGCAUGGGUAAGGGCCUUUUGGUAUUGUAAUGGAUGAUUACCUAUGGAUUGAAGUUGUUAGAAUGGAUUGGUGGUAUGCUGCCCUAGUUCUCUUUAUUUUACGUAAUGUAGACCUUAAAUGAUGUUAUUAUUCCUAUGUUCCACUUAAAUUUGUGGUGCUAUGUGCUUCAAUUGUGUGAAUGAUGUGGCGUUUUUGGCGUUACUUUAUGCAUUAUGAUGACCAUGGCCUUGUCAACAACUACUUGAUAUAUUAUGAUGGUUCUGUAGUUGAUUUAUAUAAUGAAUGAUCAUGUAAUUCUAUUAGUGAUUAAGGUGAAAGUACGUGUGUGGUGUUAGAGUUGAUACAUGAUUCUUCCUACAUGAUUAUAUGAGCCUAUAAUGGUUAUGUUGAUGAUCCUAUAGUAGUGCAUAGUGUCACGGACUUAGAGUAUUUAAUAAGACUUCGUGCCGCAAUUGAAAACUUACUCACGAAUCUUUCACGAUCUUUUAAGGUCAAGUAUGCCUUUAAGACAUAGAUCGAUAAUAGAAUGUAAAGAGAGAAUUAGAAAGAACUUUGGAAGAGGGCUUGUAUUAAGCUUGGAAGACUUGCGUACAACUUUGCUUGGUUGGAUUUGUUGGAUGAUUUACAAAUGAGAGGCAUGUUUCCAUUAUAAAUUGUGUAAAUGUUUCAUUUUUUGAUUUUUGAAGCAUGUUCACUGUUAGAAAAUUUAGCUCACUUUAAUGGUGUUAGACUUUUGACUGUCAUUCUUUGUUGAAAAUUAUUGUAAUGUGCAUAGAACUAAUGUAUAUGAGCAUUAUAAUAAAUAUAAAAUGAGUUUUUGCUAUUUGGAAGGAAGGAUGUGAGUCUUAUGGCAUGAUGAUUCAUUGAUUUUUUUAGAUUCAUGUUUUCAUAUCCCGAGAACACACCCCAGAAUGUCACCAGCGUACUUGACCACUCGAAGGUCUUGUACAAGCCCUUUCGUAUCGUUCAUCACAUAUAAACACAUGAAAAAUAGUGCAAAAUUAAAACAUCUGAUAAACAUUCUAUAAGUCAUUAAAAUAUCUUUCAGAUAAAACUAAAAGUAAAUGGUAAGUCUCAUUUCAUCAAAUCUUAGACACAAGAAUAGUUUGGGAUACAUCCCAUAUAAAAUAGAAAUAUAGUACUACUAAGUCUAUUACAAUAUUUCGAUUAAGGUAAUAAAAGACAUCUAUGCCCUUGAGUCAAAUGAGGACAUACUUGAACUUGCUUAAACGAUCUUAUAAUCAAAGCUUAACUCCCCAAUAGCACCUUCCCAUAUGAAUCACUUUAGAGAUAGAUAAAAACAUGGAAUUAGUAAAAACACAUGUACUAAGUAUGUCAUAAUGCAUAAAAAUCAUGACAAUGAACAUUCAUUGGAAAUAUGAAUCUUUUGGCUUAAACAUCAUAAUAUAAUGAUAAAAACAAAAUUUAACAACUUAGACACACAUAAGAAAUCAAUUAAUCAAUUUAGAACAUUUUUAGAAAUCUUUAUAGUGAAGUUGUGUCACUUUACAAUGACUAAAUUCAAUGUUUCAGUGAAGUUUCUCAACUUUACAAGGAUCUCUUUCUAGCAUCCAAUCCUCUCACUAUAAGCUAAUCUAAGACUCACUUAAAUAAGACAAAGAGAUACUGUCCAUACACCCUCUCUAGGCACACCUAAAUAUUUCUUAAGACCACCUAUAAUGAGAUAUACAAACAUACAAUACACCAGUCACAUAAUCAUGAGAUCCCUCCUACAAAAGGUGAUUCUAUGUUUCACUUGAGUGAGAUGUGAAGCAACCGCCCAUACAAUAUCCUACACACACACUUAAGAGAUCCUAUAGACUACCUAAAAUAAAAUCAUUCUCACUUAAUACAAUAGCAUACAUAUAAUAUGACAUUCUCCCUUCAAAAGAUUAUCAAAAGACUUACAUGAGUAAAUCAAGAAGAUAAUGUCAAGGAUUGACCUCUUCAAGAUUACCUAAAUAAUCUUUAAGACUACCUAAGGCUUAGAUCAAGUCUACAUAAUCAACCGACUUCUCUAAGUAGCGUCAUUAGUAAAACUAAUCUAGGUAAGAUACGAAGUGACCAUUCCUAUUUAAUAUUCACACUUUAACUAGACAACCUUAGCUACUCUAGAUAAUUACUUCUUCGGUAACAUGCUUUCUUAACUUAAGUCAUUACAUUCAUUAGUUCAUUUAAGACUCAUUCACCACAUAAGGAAUAUCAUGUAAUGGUCUUGGACCUAUUAUGCAAUGUUUAUAUAUCGUCACAUACCACCACCUAAACUUCAUACAACAUCUCCAAUACUAGUAGGUAUCCACAUGAUAAGAAUAGGCAAUAACUGACAUAGACCAUGAUAGAUAAAUAUUGACUCUAGAGUUCUAUCCUACUCCGAUGAUAGUGUUCUAUUUUCCAAUGGUAGAAUUUUGAAACAUCCCAUGUAGGCACAUGGUUAAGGAAUAUGAAGGUAUUACUUUGUACUCUAGCCUCAUAAUUUAACCUGAGAUUCCUACCUUAACAUACUCACUCGGUGCUAACCAUUAUUCUCAUAGAGUCAUUUAAAUUAAAGGUUCAUACAAAGGGGAUCCAUAUAAGGUUCAUAACCAAUAACAUUCACCAUACCAAUGUCGUCCUCUUCGCCUACCUUCCAAUGGAGACAAGAUAGCGCAUCAUAAAUUUCAUAAGGAUGAUAUAGCAUUGUUCAUGCAAAUAACACUUAAGUCCAUCAUUUAUUACAAGAAGGAUACCAUUACGACUUUCGACUUCCAUAUUCAUAACCUUACCACGAGGUUCAAGGUUUCACAUAAAGACCCUCUGAAAAUCAUUCCAGGUCACACGUAAUUCAUACAUUCAAGACUAAGAGUCUUUAACAUGCUAUGUCAAGACAUCUCAGAUUCACAUUCAUAUAUGUAUCAAGUAAUUGACACAAGUCUACCACCCAAGACACACCAUACUUUACAUAUAACCUUUAGCAUGUAAUUCUAGAAACACAUAGGAAUAACCAUUAUCAUCUUUUAAGUCAUUCUAUACACUACUCUAACAUCCUCAAUAUAACCAUCAUAUAUUCAAAUAAUCAAGUAGGAAUAAUCAUGCAUCACUCUAAGGCAACACGUACAACGACAUAGUCAAACUCUAACGUGAUCACCUAAGAAUAUCAAUAGAAGACCACAUACCUUCACAUAAUCACAAGUAUGGAGGUGUGAUAAUACUUCACAUAAUCAACUACAAAAAUCAUUAUAAUACUUAAACUAAGUGACGACAUGGCCAUGAUAUUCAUAAUACAUAAUGUAACGCGGACAAGGCCACAUCAAUUGCAAGUGAAGAACAUAUCACCGCCACUAUAUGUGGAACAUACUAACCACCACAUAAAUAAUAUACAAUAAUCAUAGAAUACUGAUUAUUAGGACAUCAUACCACCAAUCUAUUCUCACCACUUCAAUCCACAACGAAAUUAUCCAAUUCCAUAUCAUUAGACCGUUACCCAUGACCAAAAAAUAAUUUCAAUACAAGUAUCACAAUACUCAAUGAAUGUAAGUCCAUUGAAUAUAUAUUUAUCAAUAUAAGAACAAUUAAAUAUCAAAUAGACACAAUUCGUAAAUCAUUAAAUAGACCAUAGAAACUACACCAGAAUUCAUAAGCGUUAAGACAAUAUCACUUAACCCAUCAAGUAGUAAAAAACUAGGGUUUAUCAAUCACAUGGGUUUAUAAUUUAAUUGAGUUAGAAUAAUAUAUGUAACAAAAAAUCAAUCAAUAUACAUUGCUUUAAAACCUACAAUGCAAGAACCCAUGGAUCGAUCAUGAAAUUUGACAAGUUUAUCUUUGAAAAAUUUAGGAAACUCUUUGAAUGUUAAGCUCCUUAAUUAAUAGAGUUUCAACGAUGAUAAAACAUACCAAAAUUAUGUUAAUACACCAAUUUGAUUAAUAAUCUCCACUCAAUUCUCCAAUCCAAGCUCUUUCUUGAGUUUUUGCUCCAAUGGAGUUCUAGAUAAUUUCUAAGAGAAUUUGGGUUUUGUUAUGAUGAAUGAAUUCUCUUAAGUGUUUAAGACUUAUAAACAUGUUUAAAAUACCAAAAAUACCCCUAUGUAACCUCCCUUUAUCAUAUUUUGACGUUGGGUGAAAUUACUUUUUUACCACACGCAUUACAUUAAACCUGCACAGGAACCAGCCUCACAGACGGUUACCAAACGAUGGAACAUUUGUUCACAAACGGACGGCCCUGGAAUCUCUUUUUUGUUAGAGAGACUUGAAUUUGGGAUCUUUAUAUCUCUAUUCUAUAUCUUGAUCCACGACACUCAUUGACGGGGAGACGACUGGCCCACGAGACGUGGUUUGCCUCAGUCGACUGGGGCCUGGUCUAGGAAACCUUCACUCAAAUGAAUGUCCUUCCUCAAGGACCCUGGGAUGGUCCUUGGUGGAUUUUCACCCGGACGUUUCCAGCCCAUAAAUGUUUGUGUACGAGCUUAGGAGUUCCCACAUUAAUUUAAUACAAAACGAACACGUAAAAGUCGACGAAAUAUGCCAAGACACACAAGGUCUUUUUAAGGAAAACCUUUCGAACAUCAUUGACAUUCUUCCAUAUUUGACCUUAAAACUUCACGAAACUUGACACAAUGCCUAUACAAACUAUAAUAAAUAAUAUAAGGACCUCUUCAACUCAUUAAACACAAAUAUAGGUACAUAAUAACACAUGAGGCACAUAUGUGAACUCAAUCGUCGAACGUCUUGGUCGUCCUUUGAAUUUUAACUUCUAAAUCACCUAAAACUAAUGAAAAUUCCUCAAUGCUACAUUAUAGACCAUUUAGGACCUUAGACACGCAUGGCAACUAAGUUAGGUUCUAGUUUCACCUUAGUCAUUUUCGAGGUAUUACAUUCUCGCUCACUUGGAUAACAUUCAUCCUCGAACGACACUUGUCAUUCACCGAACACUUACAUGAGUAGACACACAAUUUAAGAGCUCAUGAUCAUACCAUAAAACACAUUAUAGUACACACAAUCAAGAAGGAAUAUCAAUUUCACUUAAUUAAGAGCAUCAUAACACAACCAGAAAUUAAAGUAAAUUCUACAACUCUCAUGCCAUAAAUAUCAUGCUCAUAUACAUAUGUUAUAACCAAAAUAUAAAAAUUUUCUACCAAAGAUGUAGUAGUCAAAUUUGGAAAAAUCUCACCGUGAGCGGGCAACCAUUUACAGUAAUUUAUGUAAAUUUUUCAAAAAUGCAAAUUUUUGGCAAUUCAUGAUUGAAACAUUCUAAUAUGCAGGAUAAAACCAUAUAAACAAAAUUUUCAACAUAAUCAUAACUUCAUACAAUUUAAUCAUAACUUCAUACAAUUCACAAUGCAAGGAAUCAAUGAAAUUCAAUUUCAACAAGACCCUUAAACACAAUGCACAUGCAACAUAAUUCUAUAAUUUUCUACUCUCAAGCUUGAGUUGAAUUGAAUAGAUGAGGUUAUCAAGAAAAUCUCCACUACUCACCAAACUCUCCCACUUAUAAGUAACUCAUACCCCUAAAUAAAUACAAGUACUUACCAUCAUCAUCAUCAUUAUCAUCGUCCGACUUCGAUCCUCUAGUCUGAAGUGCAUAUAAACGCCUCUUAUUUGGAGCAUCAAAAUCAACUCCCGAUACCCCUUAUGCAUUCCCCAUAGGUCCUGUUUACACAAGUGACACAUGUAGGUUUUCCAUUUUGAGAACCACCUCCUUUCUCAAAUUUCACCUUAAGAGCACUAGGUUCAUCUUGGCUUUGAGGCCUCCUUGUGAACCUAGGUUGACCUUAAUCACUUGAUCCACUCUUUUUAAUGUUUUUGGCAAUUCUUCGAAGUUUAGACUCCUUAAUUGAUUGAGCAUACACCUUUAGUCUAGUUAGGUUCAUAUCAUCAUGCAGAAUAGAGUAUGACAUUCUUCCUUCAGUAGAUCGACGAGAUCAGUCACAAACCUAUCAUCUUAUCCCGAGGGUAAGACACAAGGGAUGAAGCAUAUUUUGAGAACAUAGAAAACUUCAAUGAGUAUUUCCCAACACUCAUAUUUCCUUGCUUGAUAAUAAUAAACUCCUUUAACUUAACCUCCCUCCUCUGAUAGGGAAAGUACUUACCAAGAAAAUCUUCCUUAAACUUUUCUCACACAAAGGGAUUUGACUAAACCGGUCUAUUUCCUUUCCAUUGUGUUUACCACAAAUGAACAACAACUUUAAAUUAAUACGAAGCCAGCAAUGUUUUCUUCCUUGAAGUCACCCACAUGGAACUAUACACCUUGUACACACCAUCGAGGAACUCUUGCGAAUCCUUUCCCACCUUAGAGUAAAGAAAGAUAGGAGGAUUCAUCCUUACAAAAUCUGUCAAUCUAAAUGUCUUAGUUCUCUCCACAACAUUAACUUUAGGUGCAAGACCCAUAUUCACAUAGGUAGUCAAUGCUCAGGCUAAAGUUAUUAAGGCCUCUCUACUCUCCCCAUUAGUAAUUUUCGGGUGAAGCACCAGAAUAUUCUUACCAUUACCCACUAUAUGGACUUGAUCACCUUGAGGAACCUGCUCAAUUUUAGGAGGAAAUUCCUCAUUCACAUUAUUCUCCUCAACUCUCCUAGAUGGUGUCCUGCUACAGGACAUAGGAGUAUAAAGAAGGGAAACUCUAUCGUCCUACAGCCUCUCACACAUAGAGGUGGCGCGACUCACAACGUUUGUCAAGACUCUACAAGAUGUGACUUGAUGAGACUUUUUGAUUCAUAAGAUCACUUUCAUAACCUAUGUCUGAUACAAAGCUUGUCACAUCCCAAAACCACACCCUAGAAUAUAUGACACACUUAGAGUGUAACCGAUGUACUUGACCUCUCGGAGGUCUUGUAAAAUCCCUUCGGUAUCAUUCCUUAUGUAUAAACAUAUGAAAAGUAGUUAUGAAUUAAAACUUUUCACAAAUAUUCUAUAAGUCUUUAAAAUAUAUUUCAUAUAAAACUCAUCGGAAAUACUAAGUCUCAUUUCAUCAAAUUACACACAAAAAUACGUUGGGACACGACCCAUACUCAAUAGAAAUAUAGUACUACUAAGUCUAUUACAAUACAUUGAUAAAGGAAAUUAAAGACAUAUAUGCCCUUGAGUCAAAUGAGGAUGUACUUAAACUUGCUUGAGCGAUCAUCUAAUCAAAGCUUAGAUCGCGAAAAACACCUUAACCUAUGAAUUACUUUAGAGGUAGAUAAAAGCAUAAAAUUAUUACAAAUACAUUUACUAAGUAUAAUAUAAUGCAUAAAAAAUCACGAAAGCGCACAUUUAUUUUAAAUAUGCAUCAUUUGUUUUAAACAUCAUAAUAUAAUCAUAAGAACAACAUUUAACAGCUUAGACCCAUAUAAAUAAUCACUUAAUAAAUAUAGAACAUUUUCAGAAAUCUUUAUAGUGAAAUCGUGUCACUUUAUAGUGACUAAAUUCACCGUUUCAAUGAAGUUUCUUAACUUCAAAAGAAACUUUUUCUAGCAUGCAAUCCUCUCACUAAAAGUUAUGCUAAGACUCAAUUAAGAAAGAGAAAGAAAGACUGGCCAUACACCAUCUAUAGGAACACCUAAAUGAUCCUUAAGAGCACCUAUUGAGAAUCAAACAUUUAUGAUACACCAACAACGUGAACAUAAGAUCUUCCUACUAAAAUUUUUUCUAAGGUUCGCAUGAGUGAGACGUAAAGUAACCGCCAAUACAAUGCCUUACACACAAACUUAAGAGAUCCCAUGGACUACCUAUGAUACAAUCAUUCUCACUUAAUACAAAAGCAUACACGUAAUAUGGCAUUAUUCCUUUCAAAUAUUAUAAAAAGACUUACUCAUGUGAAUCAAGAAAAUCACUUCCAUGAUUGACCUCUUCAAGAUUACCUAAAUAAUCCUUAAGACAACCUAAGUCUUAGAUUAUGUGCUACAUAAUUAACCAUCUUCUCUAGCUAGUGCCGUUCUUAAUACUUAUCUAGGUAAGAUUUAAAAUGACCAUUCCUAUGCCCCCUUCACACUAUAACAAGACAACCCUUAACUACUCUAGGUAAGUACUUAUACAUUUUACAUGUUGUAUUAACUAAAUUCAUUAUAUUCAUUAGUUCAUUUAAGACUCAUUCAUCAUAUAAGGACAUUCAUGUAGGUCUUGGACAAGGCCUAGGGACUUUGACUAACAUCUUCAAAGCCUAUUGUGCAAUGUAUAGAUAGCGUCCCAUACCAUCACCAAAACUUCAUAGAACAUCUCCAAUACUAGUAAGUAUCCCACAUGAUGAGAAUAUGCAAUAACCGACAUAGACUGUGAUAGCUAAACAUGGAAUUCAGAGUUCUAUCCUACUCCUAAGAGGGUGUUCUACCUUCGAAUGGUAGAUGUUGGACACAUCCCAUGUAGGCACAUAAUUAAGGAAUAUGAAGGUCUUAAUUUGUACUCUAGGUUCAUCCUCUAACUAGAUCUACUUACCUUACCAUACUCACUCGGGGCUAGCCUUUAUUCCCAUAGAGUCCUUUAAAUUAAAGGUUCAUACAGAUGGCUUCCAUAUAAAGUUCAUAACCCAAUCACAUUAACCGUACCAAAGAGGUCCUCUAGUGAUACCUUCCAAUGGCGACAAUAUAUCUCAUCACGACUUUCCUAAGGAUUAUGUGAUGUUGUUUUAGCCAAUAAAUAUUAAGUCUAUCAUUCAUUACAAGAAGGAUACCAUUUUCGAAACUCGACUUCAUAGUUCAUAAAUUUACUACUAGGUUCAAGGAUUCACAUAAAGACCCUCUUAAAGUCAUUCAAGGUCACAUGACAUUCAUACAUUCAAGACUAAUAGGCUUUAGCAUCCUAAGUAAAGAAAUCAUAUUUUCACAUUUAUACAUGAAUCAUGUAUGGCACACAAGUCUACCACACAAGAUACACCUUACUUUACAUAUAACCUUUAGCAUGUCAUUCUAGAAGCACAUAAGAAGAACAAUUAUCAUCUUUUAAGUAAUACUAUAUACUACUAUUAAAUCAUAACUAUAACCAUCACAGACUCAUAUAGUCAAGUAGGAAUAAUCAUGCAUCAAGUCUAAGGCUACACAAACAACGAUAGAGUCAUAAUCUAACAUGAAAACAUAACAACAUCAUUAGAAGAAAACAUACCUUCACAUAAUCACAUGUGAGUAGGUAUGAUAAUACUUAACAUAAUCAAAUACACUAAUCAUCAUAAUACUUAAAGUAAGUGACGAAAAGGCCAUGAUCUUCAUAAUACAUAAAGUAACGUCGACAAGGCCAGAUCAAUUGCAAGUAAAGCACAUAACACCUCCACCAUAAGUGGACCCACCAAUAAAAACAUAACUGAAGUCUAAUUAAUAUAUAAUAAAUAUAAUUAGGUCUGCGUACCACCAAUCCAUUUUCACCACUUUGAGCCAUAGCUAAAUCAUCCAAUUCAAUAUCAUAAGGCUCUUACCCAUGGCCAUGCACAUCAAUUAAAUACAAUUAUCACAACCUAAAUGAAUAUAAGUCAAUUUAAUAUAGACUUAUCAAUCUAAGAACAUUUAAAAAAAUAAUAUGAAUACAAUUCUAACAUCAUCAAUAGCCCAUGGAAAACUAAACUAGAAUUCAUAAUCAUUAAGACAAUAUCACUUAGCCCAUAAAGUAGUAAAAACUAGGGUUCAUCAAUUACAUGGGUUCAGAGGUUAAUUUAUUUUUUAUAAUUUAAUAUACAACACUUGAAUCGAUGUACAAUAGUUUAUAACAUUUAAUGCAAGAACCCAUGGCUAGAUCAUGAAUUUGGACAACUUCAUCUUUGAAAACUUUAGAGAACUAUUUAGAUAUAGGGAUCCUUGAUGAAUAGAGUUUUAAAGAUAAAACAAUCAUACCUCGGUGAUGUUAAUCCACCAAUUUGAUGAAGAAUCUCCACUCAUUUCUCCAAUCUAAUAUCUUCCAUGAGUUUUUGCUCCAAUGGACUUCUAGAGAAUUUCUUAGAAUAUUUGGGUUUUGAUUUUUUAAUAAUUAAUUCUCCUAUGUGUUUAAGACUUAUAAACUUGUUUAACAUACCCAAUUUACCUCUAAUUAACAUCCCUUUCUCGUAUUUGGAUGUGGGGUGAAAUUACCACUUCAUCCCUAUCAUCAAAGUAAACCUGUGCAUGAUCAAGCCUCACAGACGGUUUCCAAACGACGUACAGUUUGUCCAUAAACGGACUGCCCUGUCUUCUCAUCGUUUAAUUUACAGAUUUGAAAUUAGGAGCGUGAUCCAUGUUUGCCUUAGCCGAUUGGGGCCUGGUCUAGGAAGCGUUGGCUCAAAUGAAGGGUCCUUCCGCAAGGACCCUUGAAUGGUCCUUGGGGAUUUUAACCCAGAUGUUUGCAACCCGAAUAAGUUUGUAUACGAUAUAAGGAACUCCCAUAAAAUGUUUCAUCAAAAACCCACACGUAAAACUAGACGAAACAGGCCAACAUAAACAAGGUUGUUUCAAGGCAAACCUUUCGAGCGUAAUGGACUAUCUUGGACGUUAGACCUACAAACUUCACGAAACCUAACACAAUGCCUAUAAACACUAUAAUAACUUAUAUAAGGACCUCAUAAUCUAAUGACACACACAUAAGAAUAUCAAAUACACUUAUGUGUGGUUAUGUGCCUCUCUAUGUUUGUCCUAUGCUUAUGAGGUCCUUAUAUGAGUUGUAAUAUUGUUUAUAUAUAGAGUUUCAAGUUUCAUGAAGUUUUGAGGGAAAAGAUCCAUGAAUGCCCAUGACGUUUGAAAGGAUUUCUUUGAAAUGACCUUGUACGUCUUAAGAUGUUCGUCGAGUUUUAUGUGUUCAUUUUGAAUGAAAUUUAUAUGGGAGGUCUUAAAAUUGUAUAAGAGCAUAUUCGUGUUAGGAACAUCUGUGAAAAAGACCCCAAGAAACAACCAAGGGUCCUUCUUUGUGGUCAAAAUUGCCAAAAGCAGUACUACCCAUGGAUGGCGAUAGAAAGCCGGGAACCUAGUUGACGAGCCAUAGGUGGAGGGCGUUUUUUAAGACUUAGGGAUGGGUGGAUGGAAUUUAAGUUACCAACCUCUAACCGAAACCAUGGACCCGCAGGUUUGUCCAUUGAUUGGGAGAUGGACCGUCGAUGUCCAAUCAUAUGUAAAGCCUGCAACCUGUGCGGUUCACUGUUAAAUGCAAGGGUAAAUUGGUAAAAUCACCCUAUCUCGAAAAAAGAGUUAUGGUUGUUUCUUACGUGUAUUCUAGUUAUUUUAAGAGGGUUUAUAAGUCCUAAUUACCUAGAAGAAUUAUUAUUCCAAAAUCAAAACCAAAAUACUCUAAGAAAUUCCUACUGUAUUGAAGCGAAAUCUCAAGGAAAGGCUUGGAUUAAAGAUUUGAUUGGUGAUUCAUCAUCAAUUUUUUGGAUUAGAUUCACUGAGGUAUGGUUCUUUACCCAUGAAACUUUUGAAAAAAGAAGCUGAACUUCAAAUUGAUUUCUAAUGUCUUCUAAAGAUGAACUUGUUCAAUUUUUAUACCUAUCAAUGGGUCUAUCCUAAAAUGUUUUGAAUCAUUAUAUAUUUAUUGAAUUGAUGUUUAUAAGAUAAUUUUAACCUAAUAUAUAUAUGAACCCAUGUAAUUCAUGAACCCUAGUUUUUGACUACUUUGUGGGUGACUUGAUUAUAUCUUAAUUCCUAUGAAUCCUAGUAUAGUUUUCAUUAUGAUAUUCAAUGAUGUAAGAAUUAUAUUGAAUUUAUGUAUAGCUUGUCUUAUAUUGAUAAAUACAUAUUGAAUUGACAAAGAUUCGGCUAUGGGUAACAACCUUUUAUAUUGUAAUGUAUGAUUUAGCUAUGGAUUGAAGUAGUGAGAAUGGAUUGGUGGUACGCUGCCCUAAUUCUCAUAUUUUAUGUAAUGUAGGUCUUGAAUUAUGUUAUAGUUUGUAUGGUCAAUUUAUGUUAGCGGUGAUAUGUGUUUUACUUGUGAAUGUUGUGGCUUUGUUGGCGUUACAUUAUGUAUUAUGAUGAUCAUGGCCUUGUUGACAACUAUUUGAUAUAUUAUUAUGGUUUUGUUGUUGAUUUGUAUGAAGUAUGAUCACGUCUUUCUACAUGUGAUUAAGGUUAAAGUAUGUGUUCUUCUAUUGAUCUCGUUAGGUGAUCAUGUUAAACUAUGAUUCUGUCCUUAUGUCUAUAGUCUUAGAGUUGAUGCACAAUUCUAGUCUAUGAUGGUUAUGUUGAUGAUCUUAUAAUACUGUGUAGGGUGACCUAAAUUUAACUUGGUUGUUCUUAUUUUCUACUUGAAAUACAUUCCAUAUGGGAACAUGUGUGUGUCCCUUACUUUAUAUAUUUAUAAUGAGAAUGUGACUUCUUGACUUAGUAUGCUAAAACCUCUUAUUCUUGUAUGUAUGAAUGACAUGUGACCUUGAAUGUUUAUAAGAAGGUCCUUUAUGUGGAACCUUAAACCUAGUUGUAAGGUUAUGAUAUACUUGAAGUCGAAAGCUGUAACAAUAUCCUUCUUAUGUGAACGGUGAACUCAAAUUUUGUUGGCUGGAAGGACAUGAACGCAUCGUUAGGAAAAUCAUUAAGAUAUUCUAUGCACCUCUUUAGUAAGGUGAAUGUGAUUGGGUUAUAAACUAGAUAUGGAACCUCUUCAUCUAAUCCUUUAUAUGAAUUACUCUAUGAGAAAAAAAGCUAGCACCUAGUGAGUAUGGUAAGGGAAGUAGCUUUAGUUAGUCAGGAGGCUAGAGUGCAAAGAAACCAUUCAUAUUCCUAGACCAUGUGCAGACAUGGGACGUGUCAAAGUUCUAUUAUUAGCAAGUAGAAAACCCUCCAUCGGAGUAGGUUACAACUCCCGAUUUCAUGCUUAGAUACUAUGGUAUAUGUCGGUUAAUGCCUAUCCUAAUCAUAUGGGAUACCUACAAGUGUUGGAUACGUUCUAUGAAAUUUAGGUAGUGGUGUGGGAUAUUUUCUAGAUAUUGAACAAUAGGCUUUGAAGAUGUUGGUGAGUGAGUCCCUAGGUCUUCUCCAAAAUCAUUACUUGAAUGUCCUUAUAUGUGAUGAAUGUCUCUUCAAUGAACUAAUGAACGCAAAUACUUAAGUUAGAAAUCAUGAUAAAUGAAUAAGUACUUACAUAGAGUAGUUAAGGUGUUCUCUACUCAUGGUGUGAAAGAGGCAUAGGAAUGGUCACUUUAUGUCUUGCCUAGGUAAGUCUUAUAAAUGACUCUAGAUAGGAAAGUUGGUUGAUUAAGUAGACAUAAUCAAAACUUAAGAAGUCUUAAGGAUUAUUUAGAUAAUCUUGGAGAGGAUGUAUGGUUGUUCUGUUCUUGAAUUACUUAAGUAUGUGUUUUGAUAACCUUUGUGAGGAGAAUGUCAUAUUAUAUUUAUGCUAUUAUAUCAAGUGAGAAUGAUUUUACAAUAGAUAGUCUAAAGGAUAUUAUGUUGUAUGUUUUGUGUAUUGUAAGAGUAUUUAUCUUAUUAUGGGUUGCCCUAAGGAUCUUUUAGGUGUGCUUAGAGAGGGUGUAUGGGUUGUCUCUUUUUGUGUCACUUAAGUGAGUCUCAGGAUAACUUCUAUUAAGAAGGUUGCGUGAUUAAAAGGGUUCACUGUGAAGCUGAAUAAUUUCACUGUAGCAGUUAAUUAAUUAACUAUAACAGUGACAUAGUUCACUUCAACGUACUUAAAUUAUGAUAAAAUGUUUAAGUGUUAAUUUAUGUUUCUAAGGUGUUAAAUGUUAUUAUUAUGAUUAUACGAUGAUGUUUUAAUCAAAGAGAGCGUAUUUCCAUUAAAUGUUCGUUAUCAUGAAAUUUAUGCUUUAUUCCUUACUUCGUAUAUGUGUUUGUACUAACUCCAUACUUUUAUAUAUCUCUAAAGUGAUUAAUAGGUGAAGGUGAUUUUGGGAGUGAAUCUUGGAUUAUAGGUUCUUUCAAGAAUGUUUGAACUAUAUCCUCAUUUUACUCGAGGGCAUAAAUGUCUUUUGAUUUCAUAUUUUGACACAUUUUAUAGGCUUAGUAGUACUAUAUUUCUACUGUAUGGGCGGUGCCCCAAUUAUUCUUGUGUCAAGGAUUUGAUGAUAUGAGACUUAUUAUUUCAUAUGGUUUUAUAUGAAAGAGAUUUUGAAAGACUAUUCGAAUGCAGUGAAUAGUUUUAAUUCCACACUACUUUUAAUAAAUGUAUAUUCAAUGAACUAUAUGAAAUGGAUUGUAGAAGACCUCCGAGAGGUCAAGUACGCCGUGACAUGACCUAAGAAUGACCUAAUUGUUGGGGUCUAGGUGUGGGUCAUAAUGAACGUGGUAUCAUAUGAUAUGUUAUGAAGUGGUCUUAGCAAUCCAAAAGUCUCAUCAAGUCACAUCUAGUAGAGUCUUGAAUAUCGGUGUGAGUCGCGACACAUCUAUGGGAAGAAGGCUAUAGGAUUAUGAAGUUUCCCUUUUUGUCUACUCCUACGUCGUGUCGUAGACAUUUAGAAAUUAUAAAUAUUCUUUUCUUAUGGUUUUUCUUGUGUUAUAGGAGAUGAAUAUAAGGAGGACACCUGCUAGGAGAGUUUAGAGGAAUGAUGUGAAUGGGGAGAUUCCUCCUCAAGAUGAUAAGUUGAGAAUGCUUGUCAUGAUUUUCAAGGGGCUCAAAUUGAUAAAGUCCCUAUUGUGGGUGGAGGUAACGUUGUUCUGGUGGUUCCCCCUGGAAGUUACUAAUGGGGAGAUUAUAGAGUCUUUCUUUGCUUUAGCCUGAUCCUUCAGUAUUCAUGUGAGUAGGGGUAUAGAGCCUCGAGUGAAUAUUGUGGAGAGCAAAAUGACAUAUAUAUUUAGAGAUUUUGUGACGAUUAAUCCUCCUAUCUUUCUUUACUCUAUGGUGGGAGAGGAUCACCAAGAGUUCCUAGAUGGAUUGUAUAAGGAGUGGAGUUCCAUGGGGGUGACUUAUACGGAUAAGGCGAAGUUAGUUUCGUAUGAAUUGGAGGAGGUGUACACUCAAUGGAAAGAUAAUAGGCAAGUUGAGUGGGGUCUUAUUGAGUUGGAGGAAUUUAAAGAGUCUUUCUUAGGAAAGUACUUUUCUCAUGAGAGGAGGGAGGUGAGGUUACAAAAGUUUAUCAAUCUCAAGUAUGGAAAUAUGAAUGUUGAGAAAUACUAUUUGAAAUAAUCUAUGUUCUUUUGAAAUGAUGCAUGCUUAGUGUCUAUCCCUAGGGAUGGGAUCAGUUGUUUUGUGAGCGGGGUCGCUGACCUAGUGAAGGAUGAAUACUACAUGCCCAUGCUCCAUAAUGAUAUGACCUUAUCUUGCAUUAUGGUUUAUUAUCAAUCAAUUGAUGAGUCUAAACUUGGUAAGAUGGAUAGAAACAUGAAUAGGAGUGGGUCAAGUGAUCAAAGUCAACCUAGGUUCAAGCAGAAGGUUUCAUGUCAAGAAGAACUUAGGAGUGCUAAGGUAAAACUUGAGAAGGGUAGUGGUUCUCAAGUUUGUAAGCCUAAAUUUACUUCUUGUGGGAAGAGAAACUAUGGGGAAUACCUAUUGGGUAUCGGAAGGUACUUGGGAUAUGAUAAAUAUGCGCAGAAAGUAAGCGAUUGUCCUACUAGUGAGGGUAAGAAGGUUCCUACAAGUUUUCCGGGAAAUGAUGCUCUAAAGAAGAAUCAUUUUUUUGCACUCUGGACUAGAGGAUCAAGGUCGUAUGAGGGUAAUGAUUAUGAUGGUAAGUUCGUGUAUUUCUCUGUUUAGUGUUAUGAGUGUCUUCAAUGUGGGGUAGUAUGGUGAGUGGUAGAAUGGUAAUUUGUUGUUUCAUCUCUUCUAUUAAUCUCAAGCUUGAGAGUUAGAAAUCCAUAAGAGCAUGUUGCAUACCCAUUGUAUUUAGGAGUCUUGUCGGAAUUGAAUAUCAUUGAUUCCUUUCAUUGUGAAUUUCUUGAAGUUAUGAUUAUCUUGUAUGAGGAGUUUAUAGGGUUUACUUUGCAUAUUGCCAUUUUUCAAUCAUCAAUUACCUAAAUAAUACAUUUUUAGAUUUUUUAACCAUGUUCACUGCAAGGGAAUUUAGCUCACUGUAAUAUUUUUUGAAUUUUGACUAAAUCAUUCAUUGGUUUGAAAUAGUUGUAAUAUUCAUAGAACUGAUGUACAUGAACAUUAUAAUGAAUAUAAUAGGAUUUUUAGUUAUUUGGAAUGAAGGAUCAGAGUUUUAUGGCAUGAUGAGUUGUAGAUUAUUUCUAGCUUCUUGUUGUGUUGUGAAUCUCUUGAUUAUGUUGAAUUGAUAUUUCUUCUAGAUUUUUGUAUAACAUAAUUUUUUAUUUGGUAUGAUUAUGAGCUGUUAUUUGAAUCUCUACUCUUGGAAGUGUUCAAAGAGUGGCAACUGUUAUUCGAGGACGAAUGUUGUCCAAGUGUGGGAGAUUUUAAUACCUCUAGAAUGACUUAGAUGAAACUAGAGAAUAACAUAUUUUUAAUGAGGGUAUAAUAUCCUUAAAUGGUUUUUAAUGUAGUAAUGACGCAGUGUCUAAAUUAUUAGGUGAACUGGAAAUCAAACAUCAAGGGACGACCAGAACAUUUGCCGACAAGUCACCUAUGUGCUUCAUGUGUGUUUAUGUUAUUAUGAGAUUUUCAUGAGAUUAUGAGAUACUUAUAUGACUUAUAAGAGUUUUUAUAGGCAGUAUUUCAAGUUUCAUGAAGUUUUCAGGUUAACAUACAAGAACGUCCAUGACGUUCAAAAGAAAUUCUUUUAAAUGACAUUGUGUGUCUUAGAAUGUAUCAUCGAGUAUUUUGUGUUUGUUUACGAUGAAAAUGAUAUGAGAGGUCAUAAGGUCGUAUAGGAGCAUAUUUGAGUUGGAAACGUCUGGUAAAAAGUCCUUGAGUAUAGACCGAUCUUUGUGGAAAGAAUACGCAAAAUAGUCCCACCUACGGAUGGGAAUAGAUGACCGGUAGCCUGGUCGACAGCCCGUAUGUGGAGGGUGUUGUCCAAUACAUAGAAGUGGGGUGAUGGCCUUCCAAUGAACAGUCUCUUACCGAAAAAAGAGACCAGCAGGACGGUCCGUUGGUUGGGAGACGGUCAGUCGAUCGCCAAGCAUAGUUCAAGCCUUCAACCUAGCAGUUCAUUGUUAAAUGAAAGGGUGAAUUGGUGUCCAAAUAAGUGUUUGGGAGAUUUUCUACGGGUAUUCUAGGUAUUUUAAUAGGGCUUAUAAGUCCUAAUUACCUAGAUAAAUUCAUUAUUCUAAAAUCAAAACCCAAAUUCUCUAAAAAUUUCUCUAGAAUUCUAUUGAAGACAAAACUCAAGAAAGAGCUUUGAUUGAAGAUUUGAUUGGUGAUUACUCAUAAAUUUUAUGAUUUAGACUCAUUGAGGUAUGGUUCUUCAUCCUUGAAAAUUCGUUUCAUCAUGGAGCCAAACUUCAAAUUGAUUUCUAAUGUCUUCUAAAGAAUAACUUUUAAAAUUUUGAUAUCUAUCCAUGGGUUCUUGCAUAAAACAUUUUUAAUAAUUAUAUAUUGAUUGAAAUAUAGUUAAUUAGAUUAUUUAAACCUUAUAAAUCUGUGAAUCCAUGUAAUUCAUGAACAAUAGUUUUUUACUACAUUAUGGGUGACUUGAUUUUGUGUUAAUGCUUAUGAAUUCUAGUGUAGUUUUCAUUGGGCUAUUGAAUAAUGUAAGAAAUUUAUUGAAUUGGUGUAUAAAAUGUAUUAUAUUGAUAAAUCUAUAUUUAAUUUUCCUAGAAUCGUUGAGUAUUAUGAUUUUUGUAUUGAAUUGAUGAUCAUUUCCAUGGGUAACAUCCUUUUGGUUUUGUAAUGGAUGAUUUAGCUAUGGAUUGAAGAGGUAAGAUUCAAUUGGUGGUACUCUUCCCUAAUUAUAUUUAUUGUAUUUAAUUAGGUCUUGAAUUGUGCUAUAACUGUUAUGGUCCACUUAUUGUGGCAGUGGUCUGUGCUUGUGAAUGAUGUGGCCUUGUCUGCGUUACUUUAUCUAUUAUCAUCGCCAUGAAUUUUUCUGAAAUUAAUUGAUGUAUUAUUAUGGUUAUGUAGUUGAUUUUUAUGAAUUAUGAUCAUGUAUAUCUACUUUUGAUUAAGGUGAAUGUAUGUGUUCUUAUAUUAAUGUUGUUAGGUGAUCAUGUUAGACUAUGACUAUGUCUUUAUUGAUGUAGUCAUAGAAUUGAUGCAUCAUUCUUUCUACUUGACUAUAUGUGUCUAUGAUGAUUAUGUUGAUAAUCCUAUAAUAGUGUAUCGGGUGACAUAAAGAUUAACUUGUUGUUCUUAUGUGCUACUUGAAAGAUAUUCUAUAUGUGAAGAUGUGUGUGUUUUGUCUUGGUACACUUGUGUCCCUUACUUAAUGCAUGUAUAAUGAGAAUGUGAAUUCUUGUCAUACGAUGCUGAAGACUCUUAAUAUCGUAUGUAUGAAUGACAUGUGACCUUGAAUGUUUCUAAGAAGAUGCUUUAUGUGGAACCUUCCACCUACAUGUAAGAUUAUGAUAUCCUUGAAGUUAAAAGUCUUAAUGGUAUCCUUCUUAUGUGGAUGGUGGAGUUAAGGUUGGUUGGCUUGAAUGGCAUGAAGUCAUCCUUAGGAAACUCAUUAAGUUAUCCUAUAUAUUGUAGAAAGAAAGCCCUAAGGGACCUCUUUGCUAGGGUUAAUGUAUUGUGUUUUAAAGUAGAUAGGUAACCUCUUCAUGUGAUCCUUUAUAUGAAUUACUAUAUGACAACGAAGGCUACAACAAAGUGAGUAUAAUAAGGGAAAUAGCUCUAGUUACGAAUGAGACUAGAUUUCAAUCAAAUCCUUCAUAUUACUUAACUAUGCGCCUACAUGGAAUGCAUCCAAGUUCUACCAUUCGCAAGUAGAACACCCUCCAUUGGAGUAAAUUACAAUUCUAGAUUCCAUCCUUAACUACUAUGUUCUAUGUCAGUUAUUGACUAUUCUCAUCAUAUGGAAUACCUAGUAGUGUUGCAAAAUUUUUAUGAAGUUUAGGUGGUGGUAUGGGAUGUUAUCUAUACAUUGCACAAUAGGCAUUGAAAAUGUUAGUAAGUGAGUCCCUGGGUUUUUUCCAAGACCAUUACUUGAAUGUCCUUAUAUAUGAUGAAUGUCUCUUAAAUGAACUAAUGAAGGUAAUGACUUAAGUUAUAAAUCAUAUUAAAUGAAUAAGUACCGACCUAGAGUAGUUAAGGGUUGUAUAGUUAAGGUGUGAAGGGGGCAUAGGAAUGGUCACUUUAUUUCUUACCUAGGUAAGUCUUAAGAAUGACACUAGAUCGGAAUAUUUUUUGAUUCAGUUGACAUAAUCUAAAAUUAAGAAGUCUUAAGGAUUACUUAGGUAAUCUUGGCGAGGUUGUAUGGGCAUUCUCUUCUUUAAUUACUUAAGUAAGUCUUUUGAUAACCUUUGUGAGGAGAAUAUUAUAUUCUAUAAGUAUGCUAUUUUAUGAAGUGGGCAUGAUCAUACUAUAGAUACUGUAGAGGAUCUCAUGUUUUGUGUUUGGGUGUAUUGUAAGUGUAUUUAUCUCAUUAUAGGUAGUCUUAGGGAUAAUUUAGGUGUUCAUAUAGAGGUAGUAUGGGUGCUCUCUUUUUCUGAUAUAACUGAGUCUUAGGAUAACUUUUAGUGAGACAGUUGCAUGUUUAAAAAGCUUCACUGUGAAGUUGAAGAAUUUCACUAUAGCGGUGAAUUAAUUCCUUGUAACGGUGACAUAGUUCACUAUAAUGUCCUUAAAAUUGUAAUAAAAUGUUUAGGUGUUAUUGUUUGUCUUCCUAAGGUUUUAAAUCUUGUUAUUAUCCUUAUACUAUGACAUUUUAAUCAAAAAGAGCAUAUUUCCAUUAAAUGUCUGUCAUCAUUAUUUUUAUCCAUGAUGCAAUACUUAGUACAUUUGUUUGUACUAAUUCCAUAAUUUUAUUUGUCACUAAAAUGACUCACAGAAGAAGGUGCUUCUUUGAGUGAAGCUUUGAUUAUAGGAUCUUUCAAGAAAGUUUCAAGUAUGUCCUCAUUUGACAUGAGGGCAACGAUGUCUUUUGAUUUCUUAUUUAGACACAUAGUAAUAGACUUAUUAGAACUAUACUUUUAUUAUAUGGGUCGUGUCCCAAUUAUUCUUGUGUCAACGACUUGAUUAUAUGAGACUUAGUAUUUGGUAAGGUUUUUACAUUAAAGAGAUUUUUAAAGACUAUUCAUAUGUUGUGAAAUAUUUUAAUUUAUCAAUACAUUUCAUAUAUGUAUAUGCGACUAACAAUAGGAAAGGUCUUGUACAAGACAUCUGAAAGGUCAAGUAAGUCGUGUCGUGAAAAGAGAAUUCCCUAAAUUUUAUGGUAUAGGUUCGGGUCAUGACAGGCCAUAGGUCAGUCGACGGUGAAUCUCCCCUUCGUGCUGCAUAUACAUUAUUUUGGUCAGAGAGUUGCCUAAAUGAACACUUUGCCAAAAUUACUAUGUUUCCAUCGACGGUGGCAAUCGACACCAUGUCGAUUGGACCAUGCUUUUUCGCUUGUAAGUUGUUGAUGCCUAUUCUCUCAAGAAAACUUUUAGCUACAAUGCAAGGGUCCUCCUAAAUGACGCUUUGAUUAUUCCUUGGGGAAUCGUACCCAAACAUUUCGACCCUAAACAUACAUAAAAUAAGUAUUGGACCCCCUACCACCAAUUUUCAUCGAAGUCCUACUCAUAAAACCUUGUAAAAUAGGUUAAGGCACACUAGAACCUCUUGAACUAGUUCGAGGAUGUCAUGGAUGUUUUUUGAUGAUUUUAUUCUACACCUUCCUGAAUGACUUAUAUACAUUAUAUAUAACCUUAAAAUAGUGUUACAACCCUUACAACCUCAUGAGAUAUGACUCGUGAAGAAUUUUUUUUGAUGGUUGGGAUGCUAGUAUUAAGAGUUUUGUUGUUAUCCUCAUUAAAAUAUUUAGGUGUCUUUUUGGGAACGAAUGUUCCUAAGGGGGGGAAUAAUGUAACACUCUGAAAGUUCCUUGACUUACUCUAGAGACUCACAUGAUUAAAUAAGCCUUAAAAUAGUGUUUUUAAGCUUAAACAAAGCUAAUAAUGUGAAUUUGUAAGUGUUAGAGUCAAAACGUCAUGAAACGACCAUCACGUCUGGAGAUUUCUCACAAGUGAGCUAGUGUGCGUUGGUGUUUUUCAAAUGGUGUAAAAAUUCAGAAAAAAGUAAUAUUUUGUGAAAAGGUUUAGAAUACAUGUUAAAACAUGUUUAGGGUGGAAAAAUCUGAGUACUACUCCCCAAGGAGCAUCCUAGGGGUCCUUGUGGAGGACCCUACAUUUUGAUCUAAAACUGUCAAAUGGUAGUGUGCCAUUUACAGAGCAAAACAACGAGUCGUGGAUGGAACAAAGGGACGUCGACUGGUCUCAUCGGUUCAUACAUAAGAUCUAAACCAAAAGACUCAAAAUGGAGUUUCUAAACCAAACCAUGUUUGACCUAUACGAUCCGUGGUUUAGUCAAUGGGCCAUCGACGUAGACUCUUCGAUCUACGCAAGUUCACCAUAAAGUUUUAGUUUAAGUUAGACAAAUUAGUUAAUUAGAUUAGUAAUUAUUUCAUUAUUAAGGUUUUUUAAGUCACGAGCCUCAAGUACACCCUAGAAGAUAUGGCAACCCUAAGGUCAGAACAAGGAGUAGUUUACCUUUGGAAGGUCUUGUACUAGCCUUUUACCUAUCAUUCAUUGCAUAAGACAUGAAAAAUAGUGAGGAGUUAAAACAUUUCAUGAUAAAUACUAAUAAUAAGGAAAAUGUCAUUUAUAAAUACUAAGGAUAGUCUCAUUGUCAUAAGAAAACUUAAAGACACGACAUAAUUAUCUUAGGGACACGAUCCUUUAUAUUGAAGGUUGUACAUAAAUAGUGUCAUACAAGACAUAAAGAAGAACUAAAGAAAUAAAGACUAUGCCCUCGAAUAUAUGAGGACAUACAUAGUCUUUAGAGAGUUGAUUCCCAAGCUUGACUUCAAAACAUCUACUUGCCUCAAACCUAUACUAAAAGAGUAUAGAAAAGUAUGGGUUAUUACAAACAUUUUACUAAGUAUGGCAUAUGUGAAAUCAUGCACAAGAGGAUAUUAUAGUACAAAUAAGAUUUCUUGAUAAAUAAAUAAAAAUUCAUGAAUAUAAAAGUAAAACAACAAAUAAGUCAUUAUUUACCAAGUAUAAUAAGAAUUCUACAAUUUUAGCACAAAAGACCACUUUACAGUGAACUUAAACAUUCAAUUCAUAGUGAAUUCAUUAGCUUUGAAGUUUCCUUACCAAGGUUAUCUAGGACUCACUAAGGUAGACAUGAAGGAACCGCCCUCACAACCCCUUCAAUACGCACCUAUGUGAUCAAGACUAGCCAUUAUUGGCUUACUUUGCACCGGUAACAAGACCACAUUCCUUUAACUAGACAUUAGAAAAACAUACUUGCAUUAAGGAACUUCACAUAAAUGCCUUUCUCAAGUUAACUUUCAAAUUACACAAAGUGCAAUGCUAGAGUAGCAUCCCAUACAACUACCCCUAUAAUGUGCUCCUUGAGGAUUCCAUGAGAUUAGGUACAUCACAUUAUUCAUUCAUUAACUUCAUCAUAAAAGACAUAACCUUAACAUGAUUUCUUAAUAUUAGACAUUACAUCACAUAAAGUCAUUUCCAUUACAUGAGUACUCAUUCAUUCAUAGUAUAUAAAUACACACCAAUGUUUCCUUUUAAGUGCCUACUUGUGCAACGUAAUAGAUAGAGUCCAUACCACCUCCAUCGCUGAGUAGGACACUCUUUAGAAGAUCUAGUUCAUCACAUUAUUUUGUGGGGGAUGACUUUAACCAAAAUACACAAUGAUAUCUAGACAUGGAAUUGUUAUAUUAACCCCUUUUAGAUGAGGUAUCCCCACUUUCCUGAGGUAGGCCAUUCAUUAAGCCAUUACAUGGAGUAUCCAAUAACUACACUUAUGUGUGCGGAUAAUUAAAGUAAAAUGGGAUUGCUUGUAAGUAACGCAUUUUCUUGCAUACAAAUACUACUCAUGUCAAGAGGUAUAUAGGGUACAACGUCUCCAAUCACAACGUGUACCCACCGUACAUAAAAUCCUCCCAGUUCUAGGCAUAACUCCCCAAUGGAGUCUUAAUUAUUCAUUACUAUUGGUUAAGGAAUACUUUUUGGAUACACAUCUCUACUCACAAAUGGUAUCCACCCUUCAACCGAUUUUAGAAAGCUCUUGGGAGGAAGUGAGAUUGCUGCUAAACACACUUCUCAACUCACAACAAGUGUUCACCCCAAAACUACCCUUUUCAUUCGUUAGAUUAAUUCAUUCUUAGUGUGAGUGUGUGUAAAUUUGAGCACACCUUUUCGCAUAAUCUCAAUUUCAUCAUAAAUCACACUUAUUAUACUUGACAAUUCACAUAUUUCAUUUAACAUACUCUCUAAAAUAAAUAGAAUUCAAUCUUCAAUAAGCAUAUCAACAUGAACAUAAUCGUAAGUGUUACUUUAAUUUACUUACUAUACCUUCAUGGCCAUAAUAACAAUACACACAUCCGUACAAUAUAAUCAUGAUCUUCAAAUAAACACCGCCAACAAAGGUGGACCAUACCACCAAAAUGUUUUUGACAAUAAGAACUAAUAAACAUAACAAACUUACCAUCACUCAAAACUUUCACCCCCUUUUAAUAAUUCAUUCAAUAAUUAAUCAUAAAAUAACCCUUACUAUAGUAACUAGAAAACAAUAUAACCACCAAGAAACUGUUAGUUUAACAUUUCCUAAUUAUGCUAAUUAAACCCAUUUCAUAAGCUAAAAGUUGAUAAAAAGCACAAGAUGACUCCAUUGGGGUUUUUACAUUAACAUCAUCAUUUAAAACUAAGAACAACUCAUUUUAGUCAUAGUUUUUUUUUUGCAAUGACCCAUAUUUAGUGUCAAGUAAUAAAGAAGUUUGAAGUUUGAAACCCUUUUUGAAAUCUCUUUGAAAUUUCUCCUUAAAUGAAAGAGUGUUUAUGGAUGACUACCAUACCGCAAUACAAAGAACCCUCGAGAUUUAAUGAAGAAAAUUCCAAAAGCCUUCAAUCCUUAUUCAACCUUGAGUUCUAUCUUCAAUGGAGUUUGGGAGAGCUUUUUGGAGAUCAGAAAUUUUGAGAGUUCUGAAAUUUCGAUAUCUAAUUGUGGGUUCGGUGUUUUUUCUUGGGAAAUCGGAUUAUAAUGACCUAAAACCGUCCACAAAUUAACCCCAAAGUUCCCAAAAGAGACCUACACAAAAUGGACCUUUUCCAAAAAUUAAUUUGACUUAAAAACGACCCAUCCAAAUCAUUGACUUGGCAAUGUGUCUCGGACAGAUCUUUUGAUUCUUGAAUCUCAACAUUUUUAGAAGUGAGCCUCAUGUCACUUGUGGACGCACAAGAAACAUUAGUACUAGGCGUGGGACGUGAGGUAGUAUUAAAUUCAUGGCCCUGCAUGCUGCCUUAGGUAGCUUCCUUUCCCAACGUUUGGGUCCUCAUUGUGGGACCCUUAGGGUGCUCCCCAAUGAAUCGUACUCAAACGUUUUGACCCUUGGUAUGUCCCUCUAGGUACUAGGGUAAUACACACUUGUUUUAGAAAUCUAAAACUACCUAAAACAUGCACCCAACUCAAGGACACACUAGCACAUUCAAAGACACAUUUUUCAAAUGUCAUGGAUGUUUUUGGAUGCUUGAUUUCCAAAGUUCACCAACAAACUUCUAUUGCUAAAAUACUUCAUUUUAUGUCAUUAUUAACUUAUGAAACACAUUCUCUUCUCUAGUUCAACCUAUUUCAUUUCGAGGGUGUAAUAUUACUCCACCAAACAUUCGCCAUUGAAUGAAACUUACACACUUUCAAGGACACAACAAGCAGAAUAUCACACAUCACAUCAAGGUGAAGACAAUCAUACUCAAUGAACCAAACACAAAAGGAGCACAAACUUCAUAUCUUCAAGUAUCCUCAAGUAACACAAGAAAUUUGGAACAAGUUCCACAGUUCAAAUCACAUUCAUUUAGUCAUAUAGGGAGGAAAACCUUCAACAACAUUAGUAAUGCAAAUACACAUAACCUCUACAAACGUUGAAACCAUUAUUCAUGAAAAUGCAAUUGAGUCAAAUUUUGAAAUUCUUUGUAAGUGAACACUAAUGCUUCAGAGCAAGACAUACUUAAAAUUAAACCAUUCACCUUUCAAUCAAUUCUAACAUGAAGGCAUGAAACAUGAGAGACAAGACCAUACUAAAUAAUCAUUUAACAUGAACAAAAAAACCAAAGAGAAUUACGACUUAUCAGGACUUCCAUUUUGGAUUGGUCUCCAGUCUCCCUAGAACAAACUGUAUAGAAAUGAUACCCUUUUUUAAAUCAUUUGGAUCCAGACCACCUUUAGGAGAAUGGUUGACCUCUUUGCCCUUUGCCUUGUGGACCGGACAAUCCCUCAUCUUAUGGCCAUAUUACCACACCUAAAUCAAACGUCCGUUCAGGCAAAACACUUAUCCAAAUGUAGCUUCCCACGUGCAGCACACCUAGCUAGACCUCUUUAUACGGUAAAACAUACUUCUUAAAUUAGAUGUAAAGCGUUCGUAUUGAGUAAAGAACCCAACUAAUGAGGUUGGGAUCGUUCCCCGAGGAAAAUAUUUCAGACUUAACUUUAUUCUAUUAUUACUAUUAUUCAUUUAUUUCCCUACAAAACAAAAGAAAAUAAAGGGGGUUUUGAUUCUAAAUUAAUGAAAAUAAUUAACUAUAUUAAUCUAAAAAACUAAAAGAUUUAAAUCUUGGAGCUUAAUCAAUUAAUAAAAGUAACUAGGGCUUAAGUGUUCUCCUAAGGUUCCUAACUUGAUUAUUCUAACUAUUACGAUUCUUUCCUAGUAUCUUGCAUGUAAAGUGAUAAGUUAUGUAUCUCUUAAUCAUUGGUCCGACAUCUAGAAAAUUUCACUCCGCAUCUUGGUCCGGCUACGUGUGUUUCUAUACUAACCCUUACCUUAACCUCAUAUUAUGAAUUGUAUUUAAUAUUUGACUAAAUUAUUUCUUCGUAACAAUCGACACUAGCCUAUUAGAUAGUGUACACUAAAUCUAUGUUCAUAAUUAUUUUCCUAUUAUCUACCUCCUUGGUCUGGCAAGUAGCAUUAAGGCGAGUUCUAACAUUGGCCAUCCGUUAAAAAGACUUCUAAACGAAUGCAUUAUCAAUACAUGCAAAACACCAUUCCAGAAUUACUAUUUUAGUUAGAUUUUACCUCAUUAUUCACCCAUGCUUCCCACAAUCCUAGUUAUGGAUUUUAGUUACCUAUGGUCAUACUCACUCUACUCAUAUAUUUAAUAUAAUAAUUGAUGCACUUACUUUAACGGGAAAGAAUAAAACCCACAAAUUCACUUGAUUAAUUAAUAAAAGCACAAACAAUCAAUUCCAGUAAAAGUGUAACAAUGGCUGAAAUUAAUCAUUAAAUACUUGAGCAAGAGAUCAAAAGAUUAUCCAAAAGUCUAACUAUCAAAAAGUCUAACCCCAAAGACGAGGUUUUUCGAACUAUUUAUAAUAAAACAAAAACCUUAUAAAAGAAGUAUUCAAAUUACUAACAAUUUGUCAAAACGUUUCUGGGUGGAUGGACCUCGGGACGGACCGUCGUGGUCAUGACAGGCUUUCAUGGCUUCUGUAGUCCUAUACUUCACAAAUUCUUCUUCUCCUUUCUUCAUUACCCUCAACGAACAAGUAUGACGGACCAUUCCAAGCACUACGGUUUGUCGAGGGUCUCCGUUCCAUAAUACUUUAACAUCUUGGAAUUUGGGUACUUUGACUCUUCUCUGAUCACUACGAUGAACCAGCAGGACGGACCAUCGUGGCUAUGAUAGUCCAUCGUGGACUUCCGUAAUCCCACACUAGGUCAUACUUCCCUAUCUUCCUUCAACUACUUCUCUCCUUACUAAGAUACCACCUACGGAACGUCACAGGCUCGACGGAACGUCAUAAGCCCCGUAGGUUGUCUCUUCUGCAUUUCUCGCUCAAAAACAUCCAUGUUCAUCUUUGGACAGAUUUCCUGCAAAUAAGGAGAAACUUACAUAAAAUCAAUACUAAAAGGCUUUUGCACACACACUAAACCUAAUGAAAAAGAAUUAAAAUUACCGUGAAACCACGGUACAUCAACACCAUCAACUUAAAUUAGUUGUUUAUCCUCAAGCGAUGCACUAUGACUCGCUACAAAAUCAUUGUACAAGAGUAUCCAUAUUUUAGAUUUUGCAAUCAUUUAGCUAUCAAUACCGAUCAUUCUCAUCAUGUUUAUGCAUAUUCUCACUAAUAGGCUUGAAUAAUGUAGAACCAGACCAUGACAUAGACUCACCACGCACUGACACCUGUCGUCUUCAAUUUAUCACCGAGGUGCUAAUAUUUUCGUAUUGCAACUAGUGUCCUCAAUUCACAACAAAAUCUUCAUUUUUCACACAAUGAUUUCAGUUUGAGUAUAAGAAUUACUUUUCAACACUCACUCUAUGAAAUAUUUCACAACUCAUUCAUACAUAUUUCCAUAAUCUUGCCCUUUUUCUUUUUUACUGUUUUAAAUUCGCCAUACAACUCUUAGGAUAACGAUAGGACUUUCAUAGCUUUUAACAUAGGCUCGAAGUAAGGUAGGGUAUAUUUAGGUAUACUUUAGUGACUUGUUUCACUCCUUGACAUAUUAGUUUAGCGUAUUACAUUUUUAUUAUUUUAUUCUGCCAAUUUUCUUAUAUUCUUUCACCUUGCUAUUUUCCCUUCUUUCUUCAUUUGUGUAAGUGACUCUUUUCUUUUCUUGAUUGUAUUUAUUAUAUUUUUUAUUUCACUUUUAUUUAAACUUGUUCUUGAGUCACUUUACUUUUGUUAUUUCUCUCUCUUUGUUCAUUCAACCCCACUUUCCAAAGCAUUUCUCAUAAUAGCCACCCUUAAACUCAUGGCUUUAUCGUGAGUCAGAGCACACAAUACCAAUGUUUGGUCAGGUCAACGAAAAGGUUGUUUACUGGACUAUCCACUCUCAACUUAUGCUUUUGGCAUAAGUAGAGGUGCACAUGUACAAGGAGGGACCAGAGCCAAUAUAUUAUUCCAAGAAAAGAUCAGUUGGGGUGAAAAAGAAAGGUCUAUUUUAAGCUCAAAUCAUUUGGAUGAAAUAGGGAUUAAUUUCAUUCGGUCUUUUUAUUUAGGCUAAAAAUUUGCUAUAAUGAACAACGGCCUAUGAUCUUUCGUAAUUGUCUAAUACAAUUUACUUUUAACAGGACGAACAAGGCAUGUUCUAUCUCAUUAAAAAUAGUGGACUAUUCAAAUUUUCCUCACACUCACUUGACAUCUCAUUACUCUACCAGAUUAUCAGACACUUACUUCGACCCUUAGACUUAGGGUCAUGCAGUGGAGUAUCUCUAUCUCAUUUUUAUAGCCACACAUUUAUCAAUUACUGUGCCUAGCCAUGCAUCAUUUUCAUUACGUUACAAUAUCAUUUCAGAGUUAUACUAGGUACACAACAUAUAGAUUUGUCGGUUCAACAAUUCAAAAUAAUCAGUCACAUAGAGAAAAAGAACACCGGCAAGAAAACCCCAAAAGAGGAUCGUGAAUUGGGCUACUCAGAAUUAACCAUAGCACUCGCUUUCCAUAUACCCCACCCCCAACAAAAAAAUAUGCAAUUGUCCCCAAUUCAUAAAAAAACAUAAAUCUAAGAGUGGUAGGUGAAGGAAACCUGGGCCAAAAAGCACCGACGAUAAGCAAGCUGGUGGUUCUGGAACCCACUACCUAUGUAGUCAGGACACCCUUAGUAGUGUCCUCAUCAACAACAACAUAUCAGUAGUGCAUACCACUGUCUCAACAUGUUGGAUCUAGAUACCCCAGCAGCUAACUCUACAGCCCUAAUCUGACGCGCCUCCUCAUUAUCAAUCGAGGCUUUCCUUGCAGUACCCAUCUCACGACGCUUCUUCUUCCUUUCCCUAGCCUCAUCCUCCUCUUGACCCCUGCACCUCUUGGCAUGCUCUCGAGUGGGAGGUGAUGGAAUCUCAGAAGUGGCGAAUAAUGCAGCCAACAUUGUGUCCCAUCAGGCUUUGUAGGAGGGGCCUAAGUCUCAGGCACCCUAGCCUCUAUUAUCAUAUCAAUAUCUUCUCGUAGACUGUCAAGUGCAGCCUGAAGGGUUGACACGUCCAUCAGAGGGGCUGCCCGGGCUAGCAUCCGCAAGUCAAAAGAGUCUAAGCGCUGAUGAACCUCAGCGAUCUUCCUCUCUGUGUGUUGUGCCAUCUUACGCUCCAAGCAGUCCUCCACCUCAACAAUAGACCUCUACAUCUUAGGCUUGAUGUGAUGCAGAAGUGUAGCCAUCUGAGCCUCUAGUUUCUGAACCAUGGAGGGCGGGACCAGAGCGGGAUAAGGGGAUGAGCGAGAGGAUCUAGGGGCAGUGCUGCUACCCGGGAUAGACUCGACCAGGGUAGUGUUAGUGCUUGCGGAAGUAGCUUGCAUAGCCGCUUGAGCAUGUAAUACACUAUCAGCCAGAUUCUAACCAAGUGGAGUCACCUCUUGACGGGGCCCUCUGCAUGGUUCCAACUCAUUGGCCUCAUCCCUGAUGAGGCCGAUAUAAAUAGUGCCCUGCGAAGUCUUGAGCGGAUCAAUGUGCCAGAUGGUCACACCUGCGGACCUGCAUAAUGAAAAUAUCAAGCACGGAAAAGGGUAAGUAGUGGUGACCUUGAAAGCCCUUUAGUGCAUAACCUCUUUUAGAUGCAAAGAGAAGUAAACCUCAAACCCUACUAUCAUCGCUGCCAUAAAAAAUGUGCGAUCCCAUUUAUCUUUAUUAUUUGCAGCUGUGGGGGAGAGGCAUUUGCGGACAAUCAACCAUAAAAACAUAGCCAUGAAGGUCAAAAUCACCUUCCUGGUGGCUCCCUUCGACCCCACUACCCAGUCGACACCCUCUCCAUCAACAGAUAAGUGCAGGGCCAUCCACCUCUUGGUGGUCUCUCUCAACGAUGGCUAACGCAUGAAUUGGCCAUCUUUAACAAUUUGUCACUGGUAGACAAACUCGGUGGUGAGAGGGAUCCUGGUGGUAUCAACAUCAUGGCCGUACAGAUACCGAAGGAUGGCUGGUAAGGAGAUGUCACAUGUAUGCCGCGAACUCUGACGUGCUCGAGUGGGGCCUGUUUGGCAAGGGCAGCCUUCCUAUCGAUCUAUUAUCAGAGAGUAGCCACAGAAGAGGCGUAAAACACUCAAACAAACUCCUAACUUUAGCGGCCCGAAGAACGAGUUGUCCACUCUAGCCGGUGUCUAGUGAAGAGAGUGUGGAUAUCUGGCAUGGUGGGGAGAAUUCCCGUAAGGACCCGCCUCUCCAGUGUAAGGGUCCGUGUCAUGACGCCUUUAUCGUUUAGAAAGUUGGUUUCUGAAUACAGUUGGUAUUGUCCAUCGACACACCACCGUUUAGGCAGGUCGGCAACCGAGGCGAGAACACCAGUCUUUGAGCCUGGAGUAGAUUAAGGAUUGUCAGCCUCAUCAUACGAGGAAGACUGUGCAGCCGUGGCGGGUGUAGAGACUUCUGCAGACCCGGAUAACUACUUCGACCAUGAAACUCCUCGUCAGACUGGGAGGCAGUGACUAUGUGGUACGCCACCUUUUUUGGCGUACCUCUAGUUUCAUGUGCAGCUCGUUCUGGAGUUGUAGUGCCUGGGGGCACGUAAUCGGGAUCAUGCUCAUCAUCAGAGCCUAUAACUAGUCGGGCAAACGUGGCGACAGAUUUUGAACGCCCACGUGCGUAAACUCGAUCUUGUUUUAGUUACAUUAGAGAUAGUACUGGUAAAGGAUAAUUAUUAGUAUUAGAAGGAGCAAACAAGAUAAGUAAAACCGAGACAAAAUACACAUACGACCAAAGUUGUAAUGACAUCUCUGUAGUAGAAGUGAAACACGACGGACCAGGUGAUGGCUUGUCAUGAGUAUGCCGAACCGUCAUGGGGUCCAUUAUGUCUUACUUCAACGAUGUAUAUUUGGACACCCCAAAAGGAGAGUCUAUGACAGUUAUGAUGGAUAAGCAUGAUGGACCGUUGUGAUAAUGACAGUCCAUCAUUGAUGUCCGUCGUGGGGCACUUUUAGAAAAAGUAUGGAGACCCUUAGGAGAGGGGUCUCUGACCGUCAUGACGGUUGGGUAGGACGGAACGUCGAGGGUACGAUGCUCCAUCGUAGAUUUCCUUUAGUGUACACUUAGAAAAAAAAUGGAGACCCUUAGGACAAGGUUCUUUAACCGUCAUGAUGGAUAUGCAGGACGAUCCGUCGUGGUAAUGACGGUCCGUCGUAGACGUCCGUCAGAGGAAACUUAGAAGAAGUUGGAGACGCUUAGUACUAGGGUCUCUGACCAUCAUGAUGGUUGUGCUGGACAAACUGUCGAUAUUACGAUGCUCUGUCGUAGAUGUCUGUCUGUGGACGCAUAGAAAAAAAAUUGAGACCCUUAGGACAAGGGUCUCUAAUAACCAUGACGGUUGUGCAGGAUGGACCGAUUUGUUAGUGAAGGUUUGUCUUAGAUGUCCUUCACAGGACACUUGGAAAAAGUUAGAUAUCCUUAGGAAUACGGUCUCUAGCAGCCAGAACAGUUUUGAAGAACGGAUCGUCAUUGCCACGACGGUCUGUUGCAUGUGUCCGUAGGUGGACACUUAAAGAAAAUGAAUAGUGGGGUGUUGGAACAGACCCUAUGGUUGUCCGUCAUGGGUACAAAGGUUUGUCAUCGGAGACUCGUUCUGUCAUUCAGUGACAGAACUAAGGAUGUCGCAAUCUUCCCUUGUGAGUCAAACGUAAUACUAAAUGUUAUGCUACAUGUUUGUAACCCAAAUACCCAGCAAACUAGCAAUGCUAAAGAACCAAUUUCUCGAGUUUUAACAAGGUAAUUUGAGGACUCUCAACCUAGGGCAGUGAAAAUUUGAUCAAAGAACAAAGACCCACCUAAAAGAAAUAGGCUAAUAGUAAUUGAAAAACAAAAAUGCAAUGUAAAUGGGUAAAGAUUAGAGACACAUACUUGAGAAGAGGAGUAAAACAAGAAAGUGCGGCACUUGGUUAUCAAGAGCAGAACCACAACAGCACACUCCCACCAGUAGAAAGAAGAUUUUGGGAAUUCGGUAUUUGGAAAAGUUAUAUGGAUCAGUUGAUAGAGAAGAGGAUGAGAAGGGUAGGAAGUUAGAAAGGGAGGGAAUGGGAGAAAGAGGUAAAGAAACGGUUCAAAUAAAGGGGUGGGGGUGUUAAAGGUUGGAAAAUUUUACAAUUUUCUAGCCGGGUCGGGUCGGGUUGCUGGUUAAUGACGCAAUGAGUCCCCGAUGACGGUCUGUCUCAUAUGCGACGGCCCAUCAUCGGUUCCAUCGUGGGUUCCCUUUUUUUGAAAAUAAAUGAAAAACGUAUUUGGCAUAACGGAUUCAUGUGACGGUCCGUCGCAAGCGUGACUGUCCGGUGAUGUAUCCGUUAGUGAAUGUUGCGGAGUGAUUUUCUGCAGAAUUUCCUGCUGAUGUGCUACCUGCAAAUUUAAAACCCAUUAGUAGAAAAUGCUACCAUUACUAGAAAGAAAACAAUAAGUAUUGGGUUUUCUCCUAAUCAACGCCUGAUUUGACAUCGUGGCACGACUGAAGAAACUUGAUUGCACAGACUUCAUCAAUUUGGUAUGCCUCGAUAACUUCAUUCGCCGAUUCAGCAUUCCCGGAAUAGAUUUUUAUUCGUUGUCCAUUCACCUUAAAACGCACACCCUCCUUGGUUUCCAACUCAACUGCUCCAUGAGGGAAUAGUUUGGUAAUCAAUUAAGGGUCAGUCCAUUUGUACUUGAACUUUCCCGAAAACAAGCGCAACCUAGAAUUGAAUAAAAGAACCAAAUACCAAACCAUAAACUCUCGUUUUUAAAUUUUUAGGUCAUGGUACUUCUUCAUAUUUUCUUUGUAGAGGGAUGAUCUUUCAUAAUCUUUCAGGAUGAAUUCAUUGAGUUCAUUCAACCUAGUUAAUCAUUGUUUUGCAGCUUCGGUCCAAUCCAUUUUGAAUUUCAUUAUAGCCCACAUGGCUUUAUGCUCUAAUUCAACCGGAAAAUGACAAGCUUUCCCAUAUACAAGUUGUUAUGGGGAUAAACCUAUAGGAGUCUUAUACGAUGUCCGGUAGGCCCAAAGAUCAUUAUCAAGCCUCCUUGACCAAUCCGUUCUACUAGCAUUCACUGUUCUUGACAGUGUCUGUUUGAUCUCCCAAUUUGACAUUUCAACUUGUCCAUUAGUUUGAGGAUUGUAAGAAGUGGCCAUAUUAUGGAGAACCCCAUAUUUCUCAAAUAAUCCCUUGAACAAUUUGUUGCAAUAGUGGGAUCUCCCAUCACUAAUAAUUGCCAUUGGGGUAACAAAUCGAGAGAAUAUAUUCUUUUUCGAGAAUGCAGUGACACUCUUCCCUUCAUUAUUUGUGAGGGCGAUAACUUCCACCCAUUUUGAUACAUAAUCAACCGCUACUAAAAUAUAUUUCAUUCCAUUAGAACUCACAAAUGGACCCAUAUAUUCAAUACCCCAAACAUCAAAUAACUCUAUCAGAAUAAUGGUGUUUAGGGGGAGCUCUUCAUUUCCUUAUAUGCUGCCAUCUAUUUCGCAUCUAUAACAUGAUUUAGCAAAGUCAUGAGCAUCUUGAUGAAAAGUUGGCCAAUAAUAACCACAUUGUAAUAUGUUAUGAGCGGUUUGAAUACCACUAUGAUGUCCACUAACGGGUGAGGAAUGGCAUGCCUCUAAAACAUUCAACAUCUCAACUUCUGGCACACAACACCGAAUAAUCCCAUUGAUAGAGCUCCUAUGUAAGUAUAGUUCAUCCCAAAAAAACUUCUUCACAUCGUACAUGAACUUUUUUCUUUGAUGAAAGGAAAAGUCCGAUGGAAUAAUAUCGAUAGACAGAUAGAUCACCAAAUAUAGGAACCAUGGAAUCAAGUUUUGUGAGGCAGCCAAUGCAUGCUCGUUGGGGAAAGUAUCAUCAAUAUCUGUAUUAUUUCCUAACUCUCUUAAAGUUUCAUCUUCGAGACGGGAUAAGUGAUCGGCAACUUGAUUUGCUGUCCCUUUUCUAUCCCUCAACUCAAAGUCAAAUUCUUGUACUAGCGAUACCCAACGAAUCAACCUUGGUUUCAUAUCCUUCUUUGCCACCAAAUAUCUCCAUACUUAAUAUGCACUACAACACUAGUACCUAGCAAAUAGGAGCAAAAGUUUUCAAAAGCAAAGAGUACUGCAAGGACUACUUGCUCAGUAACUAGGUAGUUCUUCUAGGCUUCAUUUAGGGCUUUACUACCAUAGUAAAUGGGGUGAAGGAUUUUGUUCCUUCUUUGUCCUAAUAACGCACCAAGAGCAACCCCACUAGCAUCGCACAUCAAAUCAAAUGGAAUGUUCCAAUCCGGAGAAAUAAUGAUAGGUUCAUACGCCAAUUUUUCUAUUAUCUCGCCGAAUGCUUUACGACAGGAUUCAUCAAAAAAAAAGUACAAUCUUUCUCUAGCAGUUUGCACAACGGAUGUGCAAUUUUUUUAAUAAAUCUUUAAUGAAUCUCGGUUAAAAACAUGCAUGCCCAAGAAAUCUUCUCACUCCUUUUACUGAGAUAGGUUGGCCAAGUCUCUCGAUUACCUCAACUUUAGCUCGAUCAACCUGUAUGCCAUUUUCUGAAAUGCGAUGAUCCAAAACAAUACCUUCUUUAGCCAUGAAGUGGUAUUUUUCCCAAUUAAGUACUAAAUUGCAGUUUUGACAUCUCUUAAGGACCUCAGAUAAAUGUUUCAAAUACAACUCAAAUGAUUCACCAACAACAUAAAAAUCAUUCAUAAAAACUUCAAUUGUAUCUUCCACCAUGUCGAAGAAUAUCCACAUUAUACAUCUCUUAAAUAUGACGGGUGCAUUGCACAACCCAAACGGCAUUUUCUUGAACGCAAAGGUCUAAUAUGGACAAGUAAAGGUUGUUUUCUGUUGAUCUUAUGAUGCAAUAGAAAUCUGAUUAUACCCGGAAUAUCCAUCUAUAAAAAAGUACCACCCUUUUCCAGCAAGUCUAUCCAACAUCUGAUCCAUGAAAGGCAUAAGAAAAUGGCCUUUUUCAGUCCAUGCAUUUAAUUUACGGUAAUCCAUACACACCCUCCAUCCUGUAACUGGUCUCAUUGGAACAAGUUCAUUUUUCUCAUUGGAGACCACACUCAUUCCCCCUUUCUUACGUACACACUGAAUAGGUCAUACCACCCUACUAUCGGUGAUCAGAUAUAUUUCUCCGGCAUCCCACUAUUUAAUGAUUUUCUUCUUCACGACCUAUUUCAUAAGUUUAUUUAAGCGUCUCUGGUGCUCAAUACUGGGUUAUGAUCGGGCAUGAGCUGGAUUUUAUGAGACUAAAUACCGGAAGGGAUCUAAAUAAUGUCCGCAAUAGUCCACCCAAUAGAUAUUUAGAACCUUUUUAGCACUUCCAUCAAACAAUCAACUUGUUGUUCAUUCACGUCUUAUGCAAUGAGUACCGGAAAUGUGUCACCAUUUCCUAAGAAUUCAUAACUGAGAUGAGGUGGGAGAGAUUUUAGUUCUAACUUUUGACCCUCCUCUAUAGAUGGUUUCGCGGGCGGAGAAUCACGAUUCUUCAUGUCUAACUCAUAUUUCUUCGGAUUAAACCGAACAUCACCACGAUCAAUAGACGCGACUAAUGACCAAUACAAUUGAAUUCAAUCGUCGUGAAAAUUCAUUAUUACUGUCGCUAAACCAUCUACACCUAGACGUUCUUCUAUUUGUGCCUUGGAUGACUUACCAACAUUAUAAGAUAUAGCAGAUACCGAUUGGAUAUCACCACUCUUCCUCAAGGACGUACAAAUGUUGAAGGUCACUUCUUCAUUGUUCACCAAAAUUUCAUCUGCCCCUUUUCCUUAUCAACUAAGGCUUGACCCGUAGCAAGGUAUGGCCUACCACGAAUAAUAGGCACUUCAAAAUUGACUUCACCAUCAAGAAUAACAAAAUCUGUCGGAAAUAUGAACGAAUCCACUUUUACUAGCACAACGUGGAGUAUCCCUAUAAGCCUUUUUACUGUUCGAUCGACCAUAAGUAGCCAUAUCGCAGUUGGUUAUGGAACACCCAAACCCAAUUUCUUGUUGAUCGAGAGGGGCGUGAGAUUUAUGCUUGCCCCCAGAUCACAUAAUGCUUUAGCAAAAUGUAAUAACCCGAUUGUAUAUGAAAUAGUGAACGCACCCGAAUCUUCUUUCUUUUGUACCAGAGAUCUAGAUUUUAGCACUACAAUGUUGCAUUCUAUUAUCAUCCUCAAAAGUGACCGAUCUUUUCUUUGUAAGCAGAUCAUUCGUAAACUUGGCAUAAUUACGCACUCCUUUUUAAAACAUCUACCAAAGGGACAUUUAUAGAAAGUUGGUACAACAUUGUUAUAAAACAUUGAUAUUUACAAUCCUCGGUCUUUUUCACUAAUAUUUGAGGAAAUAGGGUGUUGGUGUAGGCAUGGGAGUUACCUUUUUAUGCACUUCAGCAACUUUUGCAGUAUUAUCUUCUACUUCACCACCUCUACCACUUUAUCAUUAUCUUUUACCUCAUUUGUCUCAUUAGACGGCAUAGGUGGGUCAAUGGUUUUCUUACCACCGCGAGUAGUGAUUAGCAUACAGUUUCCAUCAUUUUGGAUUUUGGACAGUAUUGCUAGGAAGAGUGCCCGGUUUCCGUGUGUUCAGAGUCGUAGAUAAUUGGACCAUUUGUAUUCAAGAUGCUUAAUCGAUAUAGCAUGUGUAUCGAAACUCUGCCCAAUACCCACUAAAUCACUCAUUAAAUCUUUAGUCUGAUCAUCAUUAGCAACGAACCUUCUCAUAAUUUGGUGCAACAUAUCGUCAACUCGGUCAAUACUACCUCCACCAUCCCUAAGAGUAACUUCACGAUUUUGAGGAGGAAGAUAGGGACCAUUCCUAUCAUUUCUGUUACCAUAGUUACCCUUGUUGAACUUGUUAUCGCAGUUGUAAUUUCCAUAUUGGACGUAAUGAUCCUCAUGGUUAUGUAUACCAUAGAUCUAACCUUUGUAUCCUUGACCAUGGCGCCAAUUCUCCUGAUUUGAGCCUUGGUCACUCAGUUGGAAACCCCCCGUCUUCUCAUUUACCGCACAGGAAUCAUCCUCAUAACAACAUUCAUCAUUUGGUGGUGGUGGUUUAGAUAAGUAGUUAACUGCAUUUGUCUUUUCUGCACGCCUAGUUACAUGCUUUAAUAUAAACCCAAGCUCAGUUCUCAUCUGACCCAUCUCUUCACGAAUCUCAUCUUUGACUGGGUUAUGUGUGGAUUACAAUAUGAAGGUAUUUCUAGUACUCCAAUAUUAUUAUUCUUGGACAUUUUCUCUAAUUUUUUGGCAAUCUCAGCAUAAGGACAUUCCCAAUAAAAACCAUCCUCUAUAGUAUUCAGUACUGCUUUAUUAUUAUCACUCUGUCCCCGAUAAAAAUAUUCCUUCAGUGACUCAUCAUCUAUGCGGUGAUUAUGAACACUUCUCAAAAAUAAAGUGAAUCUAUCCCAAUAACUACUAACUCACUCUCCUGAUAGUGCCACAAUGUUGUUCACUCUGUCUUUGUGAUUUAGUUUCUUGGGGAACGGGUAGUAACGUGCUAAGAAACCGUCCCUUAGAUUGUUCCAAGUGAAAAUUGAGUUAUAAGAGAGUUCGGUGAACCAAAUAGCAGCCUCUCCGUAAGUGAGAGUGGAAAUACUCUUAGCCCUAUUACAUCUGAAUCCAAUUCAGGCCGCCCUACAAAACUUUUACACACUGCCUUUACCUUAGCUAUAUGGGCAUAUGGGUCCUUAAAAGGUAGCCCUGAAAACAAAACUCUAGCAGUGAGCAUUUGCAUCAUUCUACUAGUUACUACAAAUAUGUGGCCUUGUGGUAGAGGGGGAAAGACUAGUGGUUCAUCAGAGUCUACAAUAUUAUCUUAACCUUUGUAGUAUUCUUGAGGCCGCGGAGCGGGAUUCGUCCCCUUUGUUGAUUUUCACCAGGAUUAUCGGGUAAUAACUGACCAUUAACAUCAACCAGAGCUGGGAUGUUCUUCUUCGGAUCAUCAUCGUUAAUACCAAAGUUUCGAUUCAUAUAGCGUAGUGUGCGCUAAUUUGUGGUCGUAGGGAAACAAGGGUUUUCUUCCUCUACGUGCAUUUGGCGUACAAGGAAUAUAGUUCUGCAAGAAUAAAAAACAAUAGAAAACUAAAAAUAAGAAAAUAUUUACUAAACAUUAGUAAUAAGUUUAAGUUAAUCUAAAAGCUACUUUCUCCGUCAAUGAAGCCAAAAUGUGAUAAGCUCAAACUUACUUCUUAAAUAAGAAGUAAACCGGUGGUAUCAAGUAAAGAACCCAACUAAUAAGGUUGGGAUCGUUCCCACAAGGAUAAUAGUUCAGACUUAACUUUAUUCUAUAAUUACUAUUAUUUAGUCAAUUAGUUCCCUAGAAAACAAAAGAGAAUGAAGGGCUUUUUUUUCUAAAUUAAUGAAAAUAACGAACUCAAUUAAAGCAAAAAAAAACAAAUUCAAAUCUAAGAGCUUAAUCAAUUAAUAAAAGUAACUAGGGCUUAAGUGUUCCCCAGAGGUUCCUAACUUUAUAAUUCAAACUAUAACAAUUCUUUCCUAGUAUCUUGAAUGGAAAGUGAUAAGUUAUGUAUCUCCAAAUCAUUGGUCCGGCAUCUAGAAAAUUUCACUCCGAGCCUUGGUCCAACUACGUGUGUUGCUAUCCUAACCCUUACCUUUACCUCAUAUUAAGCUUUGUAUUAGAUAUUUGACUAAUUUAUUACUUCGUACCAAUCGACACUAGCCUAUUAUAUAGUGUACGCUAAAUCUAUGUUGAUAAUUCUUUUCCUAUUAUCUACCUCCUUAGUUCGGCAAGUAGCAUUAAGGCGAAUUCUAACGUUGAUCAUCCGUUAAAAAGACUUCUAAACGAAGGCAUUAUCAAUACAUGCAAGACACCAUUCUAUAAUUGUUAUUUUAGUUAGAUUUUACCUCAUUAUUCACCCGCGGUCAUAAUAACACUAUUCAUAUAUUUAGUAUAAGAAUUCAUACAUUUACUUUAAUAAGAAAGAAUAAAAUCCUUAAAUUCACUUGAUUAAUCAACACAAGCACCAGCAAUCAAUUCCAAAAAAAGUGUAACAAUUUCUUAAACUAAUCCUUCAAUACUUUAACAAGAGAUCUAAAGAUUAUCAAAAAGUCUAACCGCAAAAACAAGGUUUUUCGAACUAUCUAUAAAAAAAACCUAACUAAAUAAGGAUUCUAAUUACUGAAAAUCAGUCAAAUUGCGUCUCAGUCGACAGACCUCGUGACGGACUGUCGUGGUGACGACGGGCCGUCAUGGCCUUCGUCAUCUCAUACUUCACAAAUUCUUCUGUUGCUUUCUUCUUACCCUUAACAAACAGGUAUGACAGACCGUUCCAAGCACAACCCUGCAUCGAUGGUCUCCGUUCCAUAAUACUUUAACUUCUUGUAAUUUGGGUACUAGGACUACUCACUGAUCAUUACGACGAACCAGCAGGACUAAUCGUCGUGGACUUCCAUAAUCCCACAGUAGGUCAGACUUCUCCAUCUUCUCUACUAACUACGAUGCCACUUACGGACCCUCACAGGCUCGACAGACCGUCAUAAGCUCUGUAGCUGGUCUCUUCUGCAUUUCUCGCUAAAAAACAUCCGCGUUCAUCUUUUGACAGAUUUCCUGAAAAUAAGGAGAGACUUACAUAAAAAUCAAUACAAAAAGUCUUUUUGACACACACUAAAUUUAAGGAAAAAGCAUUAAAAAUACCGUGAAACCCCGGUACAUCACCUCACAAAAGUGUGGCCAUCUCCGUGGAAAUUUUGGUUGGAAACCCUAUACAUGUUCCCUAUGGAAGAUUCUUGAUGAUUGAACCUCUUCUUUGAUGUGGAUUGAUUUGGUUAAUCAACCCUAGGCCUCUUCCAAUCUCUAAACACUUCUCUAAGCUUAGACUCCUCCAUUUGUGGAGCAUAUUCCAUUAUGUAAGAGAUAUCCAUAUAAUUAAGGAGCAUACAAAACAUUAUGCCAUGAAAGGCACUCAUAACAUAAGGAUAAAUGCAACUCGUACCAAAUUACUAUAAACUUUGGUCUCAAGCUUGAAUAAUAAUUGAAGAAAAGAUAAGGAUAUAAACUACCUUAAUAAGUAAACGUACUAUAUUCCCGCUUUAUUAUUAAUCCACACAAGGACUUCAAUCCUAUCAAAAGUACCACUAUGAAAAAUUACCAACACAAUAGGGCAUCCGUAAACUCUUACAAAAUUACCAUAUUUCCUUAAACACUUCUUAAAUUUAAACCUUAAUUCUCUACUAUCAUUGCACAUAACCAUGAGACAACUGAUUCUUUCAAAAAGGGACUUCAUUCAACCAUUAAAACGAUUACCAUGAUUAGCACUACAUUACCAUGCGGUUUCACUUCAUAAUACUCCCAAUAUCAUAAACCACAGUAUGCCAUAAUUGGCAUCACAUCAAAAUAUUUAACACUCACCUCUUGUUCCACUCUUCAAGCCACAAAACCAUCAUAAGCUUCAAAAGUCACAUGUCUCUCCCUUAAACUUAUGCAAAUCACCCCUUCUAAGAAAUCACAUCAAGAAGACCACCAUACAUUGGAAAAUAAUAGAGAGACGUUAUGGAGUUAAAAUCUAUGGAAAGAUACGAGAGUAAUAAAGAAAGUGAAACUCUAUCAUCUUAUAACCUCUCACUCAUGGAUGUCUCAGGACUCACAAAGAUGAAUAAAACUCUACUAGAUGUGGCUUAUGAGUCUUUGGACCCUAAUUAUUUCACAAAAUCUUAAGUUGUGAUACAAAUUUUGUGACGUCCCACAAGUACACAAUAGAAGUUUGGGCAAUCAAUAUGUAGAAAUAAGGCGUACUUGACCUUUCAAAGGCUUGUACUAGCAUCUUAGCUAUCAUUCAUGACAUAUGACAUGAAAAGUAGUGGGGAAUAAAUACUUUUCAUGAAAAAAAUAAUAAAGAAAACAUGUUUUAUAAAUAAUAAGGAUAGUAUAAUCAUCACAAGAAAACUUAGAGACAUGACAUAAUUAUCUUAGCGACACGACCCUUUACAUGAAGGAAAUAUAUAAGUAGUCUUAUAAGAGUAAAGAAGAACUAAAGAACUAAAGACUAUUAUCUCUAAUAUAUGAGGGCAUACUUUGUGUUGUGUGAGUCGAUUCCCAAUCUUGACUUCAAAACAUCCUUUUGCCUCCAACCUAUACAUAUAAAGUAUAGGAGAGUAUGUGUUAGUACAAACAUAGUACUAAGUAUGGCAUAUGUGAAAUCAUUAAAAAGAGGACAUUACAGUAUAAAUAAGAUUUCAUGCUAAAUAAUUAAAACCUUCAUGAAUAUAGAAGUAAAACAACAUUUAAGUCAUUAUUUAGCACAUAGAAUAACACUUACACAAUUUUAGAACAAAGGACCACUUUACAGGGAACUUAAACAUGCGACCUACAGUGAACUUAUUAGCUUUGAAAUUUCAUUAAACAAGGUUAUCCUAAUACCCUCCAAGGCAGACAUGAAUGAACCGCCCAUACCACCCCUUUAAUACGCACCAAAGUGAUCCUUAAGACUACCCAUUAUAGGCUUACUUCACACGGGUAACAAGACCACAUUCCUUUAAAUAGACAUUAGAGAAACAUACUUCAAUUAAGGAACUUCACAUAAGUGUGUUUCUCAAGUUGACUUGCAAGUUACAUAAAGUUCAUGUGAAAGUAGAAUCCCAUACAACUACCCCCACAAUGUUAUCCUUGAGGAUUCCGUGAGAUUAGGUACACACUUCAUUAUUUAUUCAUAAGCUUCAUCAUAAAAUGCAUAACAUUAACAUGAUUUCUUAACAUUCGACAUUACAUCACAUAAUUUCAUUUCCAUUACAUAAAGACUCAUUUAUUCAUUGUAUACAAAGACAUUCCAAGACAUCCCAUUCAAGUGGCUACUCGUGCAAUGAAAUAUAUAACAUCCCAUACCACCACAAUGCCUAUGUAAUACAAUCUUUAGAAGAUCUAGUUCAUUACAUUAUUUUGCACGGGAUGACUUUUACUGAUAUAGAGCAUGAGGGCUAGACAUGGAAUCAAAAUAUUAACCCUAUCAGAUGAGGGAUCCCCACUUUCCCAAGGUAGGGUCAUUCUUUUCGUUUUUACAUGGAAUCUCCAAUAGCUACACCUAUUCGGGCGCAUAGUUAUGGGAUAAGGAUAUUGUUUCUAAGAAACACAUUCUCUUUCUAAUGAAAAGAACUUAUCUCAAGAGGUACAUAGGGUACAAUAUCUCUACUCACAACGUAUACCCGCCCCUUCUUUAAAUCCUUUCGGUGCUAAGCAUAACUCCCCCUCAAAGUCUUAAACAUUCAUUACUAUAGGUUAAGGAAUACUUUUUGGAUAUGACAUAUCUAUUCAGAGUUGGUAUCCAUCCUUUACCCUAUCUUAGAAAGUUCUUUGGCGAUAGUGAGGUUGCUACUAAAAACAUCAUCUCAACUCGCAACGAGUGUUCACCCCAAAACUCCCAUUUUCAUUCGUUAGCUUCAAUCAUUCAUAACGUGAGAGUGUGUACAUGUGAGCACACCUUUCACAUAAUUACCAUAUCAUAACAUCUACUUCUAAACAUGCUAGAAUCUUCAUUCAUCAUAAUUCAGACUUAACAUACUUCACACUUUCACAUAAUUUAUUUGACAUAAUCUUAUUCAAUACAUACAUUCAAGCUUUAUUAAGCAUAUCCACAUUAACAUCAUCAUAAUCGUCAAUUUACUUCACAUAUUAUGCCUUAAUGGCCAAAGUCACAACACACACAUCCAUACAAUACAAUCAUGAGCUUCAACUUAAUGCCACCACUAAAGUUUGACCAUACCACUCAAGAGCAUUUUACAAUAAUAACUAAACAACAUAACAAACUUACCAUGCAUCCAUGGUUUAACCCCCUAUUCACAAUUCUUCUAAUAAGUGAUCAUAAAAUAUACUUUUGUGCAGAAGCUAAAACACAAUAUAUGUGACAACCCCAAAAAAACCAUGUUAAGUAUAACCUAAGCGUACCUAGAAUGCAUAGGUUAGACCGGGUUCACCCGCUUGAUGCGCGUGGAACCAGACCCCUGGACCUUUGCACCAGCAAAGCAAACCAACUUGGUGAGUUUUUUAGGCUAGUCAGGGAUGGUUUCGUCCAUGUUAGGUCCUUGAAAACUAGGAUUCACCAAGGUGAGUCUUAACCGGACUUAGAGGGUUAGUCCUAGGUUUUAAGGGUUCUAUGAGUAAAAAUGUAAUUUCGAGGAUAGGGGUAUUAUAGUAAUUACCCUAGGUUGAUAUCUAAUUAAUUAAAUAAGGUUUUUAAUUGGUAAAAAUGGGUUAAAGCUCGGUGGCCGAACUCGAGUUCGACCGGAUCUCCAUACUCGAGUUCAAUACGAGUUGGAGGAACUAAGUUGGCGAUUUAAGUGAUUUAAAUUAGACAAAAAAUAAGGAGAGGCCUUAUAGUAACUUAACAUGUGGAUAAUAAUCUGAUUUUAUCAUUUAAAUUGAGUUGAAUAAGUCAACAACAAACUCCCAAGGAAAGAGGCACAUGGCUCCCGCUAGGAGUGUACUCAAUGUGCACUCUUAAUUUAUUAUCUCUUCAUAAAACAUUUUUCAGCUUUACUUUGUAAUUCAAAAUCAGAAAAAUAAACCUACUGUUCUAUUAAGUUCUUGAAUUCAUCCAUCAAAACCAAAAAUAAAAGUUGUACCCCAUAGUGUUUUAAAAAAUCACGUAAAUAACUUUAAUUGUGAACAAGAAUCAUGGCUCAGAAUAGAGGUUUGUGUUUUGGUUAGGAUGUGUGGUUGUGGCUGGUUUUCAAAGUUGAAAAAGGUAUGAAUUUUAUUCUAUCUUGGUCCGUUUCCGAAGAGUUCCGUGAGCUUCCAUACGCACUCCAAUCGAAAAACUAAGGUUGCCCCCCUUGCAUGCCCCUAUCAUUAGAUCCUCAGAAAAGUUGAUGCAUGCGUUGGUAUAUUUGCUGGUAGACAAUUUUAGGAACGUUUGUGAUUUGUGCAAUAUGAUGUUGUUUGGAAGAGUAUGAUCAUAUUAUGUGUUUCUGAUUGUAUUUCUGUUUUGUGUACAAGAUUAUGCUAAUGCCAAGAGAAUGCAUAAAACGCAUUGUUUUCAAGAACAUGGUGAAUUAUGUUAUAUGUAAUUGUCGAGUUAUUAACAUGUGAUGAUGAAACUGUGAUGUUCAUGAAAAGUAAGUGAAACUAAUGAUCUCAAAUGAAAUACUGUUUGCCGAAUUAAAAUGAGUCUAAGACUCUCGGCCAUGUACACAAAUUCACAAAAAGAAAUGGUACGGAUAUAUGGACAUAAGUUUAGGCUAAAGUAUUGGUUAAAGUUGACAUAAAAAUCUAAACCAAAUUUUAUAGACUAAGAUGUAAUAAAAUGAACUCAAAGACGUAAUACUAAUUAGAGAAGACUAGGAUAAAUUCAAAUAAAGAAAAUUCUACACUUAGGAAUCGAACCUGAGAACUUAAGUUAUUCACACUAGAUGAAGAGGUCUUGAGUAAAUUAAAAGAAGAUAAUGUUGUGCGUAUGAUGAGAAUCAAACCCUUCAUCAAGGCCAAAAGUGUGAGAUGCAUAAUCCUCACAUAUAAUAAAAAAUAUAUGAUGCCCAAGGGAUACGAACACGGAUCCCUUUUACCGAAAUUGUGAGUCACAUAAGUCUUACAUAUAAUAAAAUAAAACCCAGCCACUAGGGAUCGAACUCGGUUUCCUUGGAUGAAACUACAAGAUGUGUAAGGCUUGCACAAUAAGCACUUAGAUGAUCAUUACACAUAGCCAAAUAUGAUUAAAGCCUCUUGGCUUGUGCAUGUGGAAGGAUACGUCCACCGUACAUUUUCAAGGUGAGUGAACCUAAGCCACAAGUAAGAGAGGCACGGGUAAGAAGUGAUUUAAAUGCCUAGUUUCAUAUCAAAAGUAAAUCUCAGACCACUUAAAUCUCGAAAUUAAGCCCUAUAUAUGAGGUAACCCGAAAGGGGUACUACUAUCGGUGUAUAGUACACUAAAGGCCAUGUGCAUGGCAUAUGAUGUAAGCUUAUGGCAUGAUGAAGAAUCGAACAUUAACAUAAUUAGAUGAGUAAUUAUGUUAAACUAUGAUGUCAAUGAAAAUUGUGAUUACAUGAUAACAGGCUAAGAAUAAUUGUGAGACAACUCUCUACAAAGCCUAUACAAUGGACACCAAAUGUAUUAACCUAAGAGAGUGUUGAACAUUAAGAGACAAGUCUCAGUCACAUUCUAUAUGUAAGUGUCAAGAAAAUUCACACUUAAUACGUAAAAAAGAUAUGAUAAAUCAUCUAAUGAGCUAUGACUACCUCAUUCGAAGAAGCAAGAUUCGAUGACGUAUAAUUUAAAUAUAAAUAGGAACGUGAAACUUAGAACCCAUAGACUACCUAUGAGUGAUGAUGCCUUCUUUCAGGAAGGGCGGAGGUUCACAUAAAUAUCAUGAGAUGAGAAUCUCCACCAUGGUGGGUACGGGUCUCCCUAAAUCUCCUAGUCCUUUAACUAUGUUGCCACCAUAGGAAAAUAGCUUGGUUCGAAUCCCUAAAGCUAGCAUCUUUUUGGUUUCACUUUGGCCAGUGACUCCACCUCUUUUCGGUGUUGGUGAGACGUCGGAUUUCAUGAUUCUCACAUGAUGUAUGUUUGUUAAGGUUGAAAAUCCUAAAAGUAUGAAAGACAAUGAAAUGAAUGAUACCGAAGGUGUUUGUGCAGGACAAUCAAGAGGUGAACCAGACACAAGUAAUGACAUUAUGUCAUUCUUGGUCAUUGCACUUCAUGAUCCCGAUGAGAGUCUUAAACUUCAUCCUAGGUAUAGCGUAUGUUUACAUAAGCCUAUGAAUGAAUGAAAUGAAUUAUGCAAUGUAUGAAUGAAUGAAUGAAGCAGACUUUGUCUUUUCUAAAAGAAUCCCUCGGGUUGAGGUCCCAUAUUUUUGGCCCUCACAUGAGAUGUCUUAAUGCUACAUCCAUAAUUCCAAGGUCUCAUGGAUAUGAAAUGUAUGAUAUUUGAAACGUGAAAUGUAUUAUACGUGAACCUACGUAUGUAUGAUAUGUGAUAUAUUCAUAGCAUGACCUUCCUUUUACGAAUUAGCCAAGUCAAGAGACUUUACCUUAUAAGGAAGCAUGUUGAUUGGGAAGAGCCCUUCUUUUUCAUGAACUACUACUAUGUGUUGCUGCAUGUAUCCAUACUUAGUUCAAGUUUGUACUAAUGCCAUUCAAUAUUACUAUUUUAUAGGUGCUGGUUAGACGACAUAUUGAAGACUCUUGCGGCGGUUUGGACAUCAGUGUUAUCAAGACUAUUUGGUAGGUCCUCUUGAUUUUGAAGAUGCUACAGUAUUUAAUAUGACCUUAGUAUUAGACAUAGCUAGUGGAUGUUGUCCCUAGUGUUACUUUCAUACUUUAUUUUUGAAGUUUUUGGAUGUAAGUCCGUUUUUGCAACUUAUUAUAAUAUAUUCAUCUUUUAUUUUGAAUUUGUUCUGUAAUGACAGGUGCUUGUUCUUUAUGUUGCGCUUAGUGUAUGAUGUUUUACGUAAAAAAUAUAUGAAAUCUAAGUACACUUCAUUAAUUUAAAAGUUUAAAAUUUUGUGGUAAAAUUAACCAUAUGGAUGUGAUGAAUGCAAGAAGAGGCUUGUGUGCGACCUCUGAGAGGUCAAUGACGCCUGCGGCGGUUCGGAUUGUAGAAUCUGGGUAAUUACAAUAUAAACAUCAAGAAACUAUAACUUUAACAUUUCCUAAUCAUUCUCAUUAUACCCACUUGAUAAGCUUAAAGUUUAAAAAGGAAUAAACAAGAUUAUAUUUGGGUUUUGACAUUAAAAUCAUCAUUUAAAACUAAGAAAAACUCCUUUCAAUAAUUAAAACAUUUUUCGUGCAAAGACCCAUACUUAGAGUAAAGAAAUAAAAAAGUUUGAUUAUUGAAACCCUUUUUGGAAUCUGUUUGAAAUAGAUCGUUGAAUGAAUUAGGGAUCAAGGAUUACUACCAUACCUAUUCAAAGAAACACAUAAAAGUUUGAUAAAAAAACAUCCAAAACCUUCAACACUAGCUUAACCUUGAUUUCUAGCUUCGAUGGAGUGUAGGAGAGUUUUUGGGAGAGAAGAAAUUUUUGGAGUCUUUAAAUUUUGAUUUAUAAUUGAGGAUUUGGUGUUUUUUGUUGGGGAAUAGGUGUAUAAUGACCUAAAACCGUCCACGAAUAAUCCCCAAAGUUUUCAAAAGAUCCCUUCACUAAGUGGAUCAUUUUCCAGAGUCUAAUUUGACAUAGAACGUCGCGGACGAAUCUUGGACUUGGAUUCAAAUCUCGGAGGGAUCUUUUGUUUCUUUAAUCUAAUAAUUUAUUGGCAAUGAUCCUCAUGUAACUUGCGUAAUGAACAGGCAGCUUCAGUGCCAGUCACGCGACGCGAGGUGGGCUUCAACUUUUUUGUUUGUACGCUGCCUUAGGCAACUUCCUUGCCCAACGUUUUUGUCCUUCUUUGGGACCCUUAGGGUGGUAACCGAUGAGUCGUACUUAAACUUUUGACCCCUGAUAUGUCUCAAUAGGUACUAGGGUCAUCCCCUCUCGUUGUAUACACCAAAAAAAACUAAAAACAUGCUCCAAAAUCAAGGAUACAGUAGAACAUUCAAAGGCAUAUUUUCCGAAAGCCAUGGAUCUUCUUGGACGCUUGUAUUCCUAAGUUCACCAACUGACUUCUAAUGCUAAAAUGCAUCAUUUUAACUCAUUAUUAACUUAUGAAACACAUUUGAAGCUCUAGUUCAACUUAGUUCAUAUCGAGGGUGUAACUUGUUAAUUAAGUUAGUUGGGGACGAUAAAAGUAUUAGACUUCAUUUAACUAACCCAACACGUCAUUAUUUCCCAAACCUAAUUCACUCACCGUUCUCUCUACUUUCUAUUACUACCCAAAGAUACCAAUUGAAUACCAAGGUUCUAGCAUUAUUAGGGCUUCAAGAUUAAAAUUUUCUUCCACUAUUGUACAAGAACUGUUAAGGUAUGGAAGUUACUCACUCUUGGGACUCCAUUCCUCGAGAGGUUUUUCAAUGUUUGGUUUUAAAGGAUGUCUAGAAUUAUGGUUUUCAUAAUAUUCGUAGGUUAUCCUUCAAAUUGGUUUAAUGUUGUAUUUAUUAUCUACAUUAACAGAUUAUGAUUGUUUAAUGGUGGAUUGAUGUAGUUUCUUAAUCUUUGACCUAGUUACUAUAAAAGAUCCUUGAAUGACCCCUUUCCCUUAACCCUAACUGUUAAUUAGGCUUAGAGAUGACUAGGGAUAUUAAAAGUUGAUAUGUAGUUACUUCAACUACUUUUAUGUAUAUGAUGGUGUUUGAUUUACUGGAUGAAUAUGGUGGCAUUGAGGGUAUGAUCUUGAAGGAGAUUUUUGGAAGCCAUAAGGUAGACUUUUGAGAUUAUGAUUUCUGUACUUCAAUUUUUUUGGUCAAUUCUUAAUGAUGAUGUUCACUUGAAGUAUGAUUAUGCCAAUAGAAUAGGAAGAUCAUGAGCUGAUGAAUAUGACGACAUAUAAGGAAUAUGUGAAUGUGAGAUCUUGAUAUGGGUAUGGCCAAUUAAGGCUAGUAUUAUGUGUCUUAUUAUGGUAUUACUAUGAUGUGACGAUCUCACUAAAUGAUGAGUUGUGAUGAAAGUAAGUUCUGAUUCUAUACAUACAGAUCUAUGAUCAUGAAUAUACAAGGGGUUAGUACCUAAGGACUAUAUUGUAAACUAAUGAUUAAAAAUAACUUAAAGAUAUUUCAAAAAGGGACAUUAUCUUACCACCGAGCAAAGAAUAUAUGAUUGGUGGCCCUUCCCCAUGAAGGAAGGUAGGUUCACAAUGGCUCUCAUGAUAAGGAGACUAUCAUGCAAAUGUGCAUACAUGAGUUUGUAGAGAAUCUCCUAUUUCCUUAACUAUGUGCCCCUACAGGAAAAGUAACUAGUUAAUACGCCUAGAAUGAUAUGUUACUGUAUGAUUCUACCUUGGAAAGUAUAGAACCUUCUUUUGGUGUAGAUUACAUGACACUGGAUUCCAUGUUGUAACAACCCUAAAAAUGGAUAUGCUAAGUAGUGCUUAAUGUGUCUAGAAUGCCAACGAUUAGACUGGGUUCACACGGAAUGAUUCACGUAGAACCAGACCCAGAAACCUUGCUACAUACAAGAGAACUAACUUGAGGAGUUAUUUGAGAUAAUAAAGGUUAGGACCAACCAUGUAGGACUCUCGAAUAUGAAGAUUUACUUGAAGGAGUCUUUACUGGAUUGGAAAAGAGGAAAUCUUAAGUUUGGAGGGUCUAGGGGUAAAAUGGUCUUUUACUAGGCUAAGGGUAGUAUCGUAAUUAUCCUAAUUAAUUAAUUAAUUAAUUAAUUAAUAGGGUGGAGGGGCAUUUUGGGAAGAGAGGGCCGAAAUUGGGCUUUUGAAGUGAAGUCUUACUCCAAUUGGGUUCUAACAUAUGUGGAAGCAAUGAAUUAAAUUGUUUUUAAUUUACGUUGAAUAAUUAAUGUUAUUAAUUUAUAUUUAUUAUUUAUUAUCUGAUUUAAAAUAAAAGUAAAUCAUAAUUUUAAUAAUUAAAUAAAACCUUAUUUGACUAAGUCCUAAACUAUACUUCUAAGCCUAAGAAAACUCUUCUCUCCCACGCUUAUCUCUCUCUCUCUCUCACGUCUCUAUCACUCUCACUCAAGUUUUUCUCUGCCAAAUAACGUACAAAAACAGUAGGUAAACCAAAGUUCUUCACACUUGAAAAACACACGUUAGGCAAAGAGAGGGUUUUUCCAUCAAGUCUCUGUUGAAGCUCUUGGAUUUGGACGUGUGUUUGGAGCGGUUCUUUGGGCACCAAGUAGAGGUUUGAAUGUAAAAAAGGUAUGGCUUCUCUUCUCUCACGGUCCCUUAGAGAGACCCCUUAAGGUUCAUAAUAUUCAUUCCGAAAACUAGGAUUGUUCCCCGUUGCAUGUCCAUGUCACUAGCUCUCAUUGAAUCAUAGGUUGGUUAUGUUUGCUGGUAGAAAACAAGGGAUCAAAGGUGUUUUUGUGAGGAUUAUAUGUUUAUACGUUUGUUUGGAAUUAUGUGACUUAUGUUGAUGUUUCCAAAAAUUGUAACUACGUGUUUAAGUGCGUGUUGUCGUGGCUAUUGUUCAUGGUUUAGGACUUGAAAUUACAUGAUAGUUCUUAAUAUUCCAUGAACACAUGUUGAUGUAAAUGUGAUGUUCAUAUGAGUUGAAAUGUGGUUGUUUUGAGGGAUAAUAUCUUAGAUAACAAAUACAUGAAGACGCACCUAAAAUUCAAAAAAUGCACUACGAAAUUCCUCGAAAAACUAUGGUGUAACUUGAAGAAAGGAUGCUGAAAAAUUAAAAGAAAAUUUCCAGAUUCUAUUGAUUAAUUUCGUUCAGCAAAGAGAGUUCAAAAUGUUGAAAAAAAUGAUUUAAAACAACUGAGGUCAUGGAGGAAUGAACCUGUGACUUCACCAAGUAAAGAACCAUGAAAAUAAAGAAGUAAAAAUAAAAUGUGGAGAGUGGGGAUUGAACCCACAACCUCUUGAAUGAAUGAGAGACUUAGGAGGAAAAUAAACGAUAAAAUAAAAUGUGGAGAGUGGGAAUUGAACCCACAACCUUUUGAAUGGAUGAGAGAGUAAGGAGGAAAAUAAAGGAGAAAAUAAAAUGUGGAGGGUGGGGAUUGUACCGACAACCUCUUGAAUGAAUGAGAGAGUUAGUAAAAAAUUAAUGGAGGAAAUAAAAUGUGGAGUGGGGAUUGAACCCAUAACCUCUUUAAUAGAUAAGAGAGUUAAAAGUAAAAUAAUGGAGAAAAUAAACGUGGAGAGUGGGAAUUGAACCCACAACCUCUUGGAUAGGUGAGAAAUUUAAGAAAUAAAUAAAAAAAAAAAUACUGAGCAUGUGGGGGAUUGAACCCACAACCUCCUUUCCUUAAAAUGAAAAAGGGGAGGACAAUAAGAAAGAAACAUUAUGGGGUUGAUGGGAAUUGAACUAGGGUCUCCCGAAUAUGAAAAAUGCAAUUAUCAAAGUAUAAAAUAAGACUAAGUGUUGUUUAAAGGGUUUCAAAAUCAGGUUUCCUUGUCCAAUUCUGUAUUGACAUAUAAGUCAUACGUACACAAAUAUUUAAUGAAAGCUGCCUCUAAAGAUCAAAUCAAUAGACUGUCAUAUCUACAAGAUGUGUAAGUCUUGUACCACAUAAUCUUUGGUAAACAUGAAUCACUUAGACAAACAUGAAUGAAGUCUCAUGGCUUGUAUUUGUUGACUCAUCAGUCUAGAUAAGCUUAAAAGUAAGUGGACCUAAGAUGUAUGUGAUGAAAUGAUGUAAAUGGCCAACUACAUCAUGUAAAGGGGUGAGUAAAUAUGAAGAGCAAUUAUGCUAAAGUUAAUCAAUGUGGUGACAACAUGAUAAGAGGCUAAUGUGAAAGAUGUGAGCAAUCUCAAAUGAGACUAAGUAAAUAUUACCAAAAUGUACUCACCUAUGAGAGUGUAAAGUUAAUGAAGAUAUCAGUCUCUAUGACUAGUCUAAUGAAAGUAUUGAAGUUAAUGCAUACUCAAUACUAAUGAUUAGAUGAGAAAUCAUCUAAUGAGCUAUGAUGUCCUCAUACUAGAAGCCAGCUUCCAUGACGUAAGAUUUGAAUGUAAUGAAACUUUAUACUAAGCACCACUGUACUAACUAUGAGCGAGAUGCCUUCUUUUGGGAAGGGUGGAGGUUCACGUAACAAUCAUGAGUUGAGACUGUCCAGCAUGCCGGGUAUGGAUCUCCUUAUAUAUCCUAGUAUUCGAACUUAUACUGCAAAUAUAGACAUCUUCAGUUCAAUCCCUUUGUAUGCUAGCAUGUUUUGAGUCACUUUGGCCGGUGAUUCCACCUAUUUUUGUUGUAGGUUUUGAUGACACUGGAUUUCAUGAUGCUCACAUGAUCUAUGUCAGUUAAAGUUAAAGUUUCCAAUUAAUGAAUGAGGCCAACCUCAAAUGAUGCACAUAAUGAAACGAAUGAUACCAAAGUUGUUACGAUAAGAUAAUAAGGGUGUGAGUUAGAUUCCAAUAAUGACAUUAGGUCAUUCUUUGUCAUUGCACAACGAACCCGAUGAAAGUCUUAAACUACAUCCUAGGUAUUGUUGGUGUUUACACUAGCCCAUGAAUAAAAUGAAAUAAAGUACAUAUGAAUGAACGAAGUAGACUAUGUAUUUGGUAAAGUAGACUCCCUAGUUGAGGUCCCAUAUGUUUAGCCCUCAUUUUUGAGAAGUCAUAAUGUCAAUUCCAUUAUUCCACGGUCUCAUGGCAUACAAAUGAAUGAUAUGAAAAACAUUAUGUGUUAUAGGAAUUAUGAUAUAUGCUAUGUGUACACUUAAUGUGUUAUGUGCAAAAUGUUAAGUCUGAUGAUGCAUGUUAAUCUCGUGGCAUAACUUUCCUAAUCCAAAUUUUGAAUGCUCAUAAACAUUCCUAAUUUAAAUUUAGAAAGCUUACUCACUUUUCUAAUCUCAAUUUGGCAAGUCCACUUACUUGACCUUCUAUUGUUAUGUUGUUAGGGAACAACUAUUCUUACUUAUUCAUGUCCCUGGUGUGUGCUUGAAUAUACCCAUACUCAGUAAAAGUGUGUACUAUCUCUAUAGAACUCUAAACUCUUAGGUGCAGGCACAGUUGGACGCUAGAGCUACAGACUCAACGUUGCAACUAUCCAGACGUCGAGCAUCAUACGAACUUGGUAGGCACUCAUUCUUUUGAGGAUGCUUUCCCAUUAACGUUCUAUCUUAGUUUUAGGAUUGAGCUAGUGGAGUAUGUUCCACUAGCGUUUCAUUCCCAUUUUGUUCAGACAUUGUAUUAGUGCCGUUUUGGUAGUUACAUCUUUAUGGUUAUAAUAAACUGUUUCUUUCAUGUGAUGAUCUUAACGUUAUAUGGUUGAUGGUGAAAAAUUACCUAUGCAGUAGAAUGUUCAGUAAGCAUGUUAACAAACAAAAAGUUUCAAAUUUCCCGCUAUAUUAACUUAGAUGAAGUAAGAAUGACGAAUGUAAGCUUGUCUGCAACCUUUUAGAGGUCAACAACGCCGGUCUCACCUGGGGUCUUGAUUCCAGUUGUGACAAAGUUUGUAAUAGAUCUCUAGGUUAAAUUAUGAGGAUAAUAAUUUCACAUCAACCACAUCGAGUAGUUUCCAAGUCAUGGUAGUGAAGUGCACCACUAUCUUGGAUUAGAGAAUGCAUGAUCUGUAGGAAAAUUUGCCUUCUUCUAAUCUUCUCGUGAUUCUCUUAUGUCAUAUUUCUUUGUGUUAAGAGCGUAUAUAACAUCAACUCUUGAAGUUUCCAAAAUAUGAAUACAAGGUAAAAAACAGACGGGGAGAUUGGAGGAGCGGCUAGUGGGGUAAUUUAACAUUCUCCCUAGGCUCUAUCUGCUGGAAUAGAGAUGCCUGUUAACUUAGCUGGGUUGACAGAUAGAGAAUUAAGGACAUCUUUGGUACAGAUGGACCAAGAUAUCACUUUAGAAGCUCGGGAUAUUGGAUUGUAUUGAUGUGGAGAAGUCUGAGUUGACAUCCUACUAGCUAAAAGAUGUAGCUCAAUCCUGGUAUAAGGUGUGGCAAGAUAGCAGUGCCUUCAGAUAGGGUCCUAUACUUGGGAUAUUUUCAAGAUGGCUUUUCUAGGGAGGUUCUUUCCAAGCUAAAUGAUGGAGGCUAAGGUUGAGGAAUUUAUCAACCUUAAGCAGCGAUCGAUGUCAGUCAGGGAUUACUCCCUGAGGUUUGUAAGACUUUACAGCCCAGGAGAGGCGACCUUGUUGUAUGUGUGGCAUACUACAUUGGGGAGUAUGUAUUAUGGACUCUAACGCUUGUUACUAUUGUGGCAAACCGGGUCACAUGAUGAAGGAUUGUCCGACUAGGAGAAGUCAAGAACAGGGGAAGGAGAGAGUUCAACCAAAUGGUCAAAGUGAAGAGGCUACAUGGAGGAAAUUAUUCUUCGCACUCAAGUUUAGGGGUAAAGGGGAAGUCACCUCUGAUGAAGUCUCGGGUGCGUAGCCUUAAUUAGUUUUUCAUGUGUUUGACUGUGUAUGGUGUUUAUGCACUAGUAUUAGGUUAAUAUAUUUGAGUCAUCAUGUUGGUUGCUGAUUUUUAUGACUUACAUGUUUAGUUAUGUUGUAUGCUUUGAUGAGACUAAUGUACUAAAGAGUUCCUAAGUCUAUUUGACUGAAGCUACUAGUAAGUUUCAAGGAUGUCUACCAUCAUGGUAAUAUGUAAAUAACAUAUUCACUUAUUGGGAGUAUUGAAUUACCUAUGUAUGCAUGCAUUCUAUAGAUGACUUACUUAUUCUUAAUAAAGAGUAUUUUCAUUCGGGGACGAAUGUUCCUAUGCUGGGAUAAUGUAACAACCCUAAAAAUGGAUAUGCUAAGUAGUUCUUAAUGUGUCUAGAAUGCCAACGAUUAGACCGGGUUUACAAGGAAUGAUGCGCGUAAAACCAGACCUCAGAACCCUUGCUACAUCAAGAAAAGAAACUUGGGGAGUUAGUUGAGCUAGGAAAGGUUGUGUCCAACCAUGUAGGACUCUCGAAUACAAAGAUUUACUUGAAGGAGUCUUAACGGACUGAAAAAGAGAAAAUCUUAUGUUUGGAGGAUAUAGUGGUAAAAUGGUAUUUAUUAAGGAUAAGGGUAGUAUCGUUAUUAUUCUAAAAAAUUAAUUAAUUAAUUAAUAAGGUGGAGGGUCAUUUUGGGAAGAGAGGGCCGAAAUUGGGCUCUUGCAGCAAAGUCUUGCUCCACCCAAGUUAGAACUUAGGUGGAAGCAAUGAAUUAAAUUGUUUUUAAUUUAAAUUGGUAAAAUAAUGUAGUUAAUUUAUAUUUAUUAGUUAUUAGAUGAAUAAAAAUAAAAGUAAAUUGUAUUUUUAAUAAUUAUAUAAAACCUUAUUUGACUAAGUCCUAAACAAGACUCCUAAGCCUAAGAAAAAUCUUCUCUUUCACGCAGAUCUUUCUCUCACGUCUCUAUCACUCUCACUCGAGUUUUUCUCUGCCAACUAGCGUGCAAAAAAAGUAGGUAAAUCAAAGUUCAUCACACUUCAAGAAAUCACAAUGAAAAUUAUAGACAAACCACUACUCAAACACGUUAGGCAAAGAGAGGGUUUUUCCAUCAAGUUGGUGUUGAAGAUCUUGGAUUCGGACGUAUGUUUGGAGGGGUUUCUAUGGGAAGAAAGUCAAGGUUUUAACAUUAAAAAGGUAUGGGAUCUCUUCUCUCUUGGUCCCUUUACCAAGAGACCACUAACGGUUCAGAAUAUUCAUUCUAAAAAAUAAGAUUAUUCCCCGUUGCAUGUCACUCUCACUAGCUCCCAUUUAAUCAUAGGUUUGUUAUGUUUUCUGGUAGAAAACUAGGGAUGAAACAUAUUUUUGUAAUGAUUAUGUGUUUAUAUGUAUAUUUGUAAUUAUGUGACUUAUACUGAUGUUUCUGAAAAUGUAACUAUGUGUGUAUUUGUGUGUUGUCGUGGCAAUUGUUCAUGGUUUAGGACUUGAAAUUGCAUGAUAGUUCUUUAUACUUCCUGUACACAUGUUGAUGUAAAUGUGAUGUUCAUAUGAAUUGAAAUAUGGAUGAUAUGAGUGAAAAUAUCUAAGCUAAACGCUUACAUGAAGACACACCUAAAACGUUAUAAAUGCACUACGAAAUACCCCUAACAACUAAGGUGUACCUUGAUGAAAGGAUGUUGAAACACUAAAAGAAAAUUUCCAUCUUCUACUGAUGAAUUUCGGUCAGCAAGAAGGCUUCAAAAUGAUGAAAAAAUGAAUUAAAACAAGUGAGGUCAUAGAGGAUUGAACCCGUGCCUUCACCAUAUUAAAAACCAUGAAAAUAAAGAAGUAAAAAUAAAAUGUGGAGUGUGGGGAUUGAACCAACAACCUCUUGAAUAGAUGAGAGAGUUAGGAGGAAAAUAAAAUGUGGAGAGUGGGGAUUAAACCCACAACCUCUUGAAUGGAUGAGAGACUAAUGAGAAAAAUAAAGGAGAAAAUAAAAUAUGGAGAGUGGUGAUUGAACCCACAACCUCUUGAAUGGAUGAGAGAGUUAGGAGAAAAAUAGAGGAAAUAAAAUGUGGAGAUUGGGGACUGAACCCACAACCUCUUGAAUGGAUGGGAGAGUAAGGAGAAAAAUAAAGGUGGAGAGUAGGGAUUGAACCCACAACCUCUUGAAUGGAUGAUAGACUAAUGAGAAAAAUAAAGGAGAAAAUAAAAUAUGGAGAGUGGUGAUUGAACCCACAACCUCUUGAAUGGAUGAGAGAGUUAGGAGAAAAAUAGAGGAAAUAAAAUGUGGAGAUUGGGGACUGAACCCACAACCUCUUGAAUGGAUGGGAGAGUAAGGAGAAAAAUAAUGGUGGAGAGUGGGGAUUGAACCCACAACCUCUUGUAUAGGUCAGAUAGUUUAGAAAUAAAUAAACAGAAAAAAAAUAAUGAGCUUGUGGGGGAUUGAACCCACAACCGCCUUGCCUUAAGCCCAAAAGGGGAGGAGAACAAGAAAUAUAUAUUAUGGGGUUGGUGGGGAUCGAAAUAGGGUAUCCCUUAUCUGUAAAAUGUAAUUAUCAAAGUUUUAAAUAAGUUAAAGUAUUGUUCAAGGGAUUCUAAAUCGGGUUCCUUUAUCCUAUUCCGUGUUGACACAUAAGUCAUAUGUAAACAAAUAAUUAAUGAAUGCUGCCUCUAAAGAUCAAGUAAAUAUUAUUGCAUAUCUAAAAGAUUCACAAGUCUUGUACCACAUAAUAUUAGGUAAACAUGAAUCACUUAGACAAACUAUGAAUGAAGUCUCAUGGCCUGUAUGUGUUGACUCAUAAGACUGUCAUAAGUUUAAAAAAGUGAACCUAAGAUGUAUGUGAUGAAAUGAUAUAAAACCUAGAAGUGGUUAAAAAAGAGUGUUAAACACACUAAAUGGCUAAGUGCAUUGGCAAAUGAUGAAAUGAACAUUCAUGUAAAAGGGUUAGUAAAUAUGAAGAACAAAUGUUGUAAAGUUAAUGAAUGCGGUGAUAACAUGAUAAGAUGCUAAUAUGAAACAUGAGAGCAAUCCCAAAUGAGCCUAUGUAAAUGUUAUUAAAACAUACUCACCUAUGAGAAUGUAAAGUUAAUUGAGAGACCAGUCUCUAUGAACACUGUAAUGAAAGUAUUGAAGUUAAUGCAUAUUUAAUACUAAUGAUGGGAUGAGAAAUCAUCUAAUGAGCUAUGAUGUGCUCAUACUAGAAGCCAGCUUCCAUGACAUAUAAGUUUAAUAUAAUGGAACUUUAUACUGAGCACCGAUAGGCUAGAUAUGAGCGGUGAUGCCUUCUUUCGAAAGUUUAUGUAACUCUCAUGAGAUGAGACUGUCCAGCAUGCUGGGAAUAGGUCUCCUUAUUCAUCCUAACCUUCGAACCUAUGCAUCCAAUAUUGGAUCUGGCGGGGUUUAAUUCCCAUAUACGCUAUCAUGUUUUGCUUAACUUUGGACGGUGACUCCACCUAUUUUCAUUGUGGAAUUUCAUGACUCUAGGUUUCAUGAUUCUCACAUGAUCUAUGGCGGUUAAAGUUAAAUUUCCCAAUGAAUGAAUGAGCCCAGCCUCAAAUGAUGCACAUAAUGAAACAAAUGAUACCAAAGGUGUUAAGAUAGGAUAAUCAAGACGUGAGUUAGAUUCAAGUAAUGGCAUUCGGUCAUUCUUGGUCAUUACACAACAAACCCGAUGAAAGACUUAAACUACAUCCUAGGUGUAGCUGGUGUUUACACUGGCCCACGAAUGAAAUGGAAUGAAGUACGUAAUGAAUGAACAAAGCAGACUCUGUGUUUGCUAAAGCAGACUCCAUGGUUGAGGUCCCAUAUUGUUGAGCCCCUGAUUCCGAGGUCUCAUGGCAUACAAAUGAAUGAUAUGAACAAUGUUAUGUGAUAUAGGAAUUAUGAUAUGUGCUAUGUGUACGCUAUUAUAUGUUGUGUGCAAAAUGUUAAGUAUGAUGAUACAUGUUGCUCUCAUGGAAUAACUUUCCUAAUCAAAAUUUGAAAAGCUGAAAACUUUCAUGACAUAACUUUCCUAAUCAAAAUUUGGAAAGCUCAUAAAAUUUCCUAAUUCUAAUUUUGAGAGCUCACUCACUUUCCUAAUUUCAAUUUGGCAAGUCCACUUACUGGACCUUCUCUAAUGAUGUUGUUAGGAAAGAGCUAAUCUUACUCAUGCAUGUCCUCGUUUUGUGCUUUCAUAUACCAAUACUUAGUACAAGUGUGUACUAACUCUAUAAAACUCUAAAAUUCUAUGUGCAGGCUCAGGUGGACGCUAGAGCUACACGAUCAAAGUUGCAGUUACCCGGACGUUGAGCAUUCAUCCGGACAUGGUAGGCCCUCAUGUUUUCGAUGAUGCUUGGACAUUUACAUUCUACUUCUUUUGUAGGAAUGAUCUAGUUGAGUAUGUUCCACUUGUGUUUCUUUUUUGUUUUUGUUCAGACAUUGUAUUUGUGUCAUUUUUGCAAAUACAUCUUGAUCGCUAUAAUAAACUAUUUCUUUCAUUUGAUGAUCUUAAUGUUAGAUGGUUGAUGGUGAAUAAUUACGUAUGUAGUAGAAUGUUUAGUUAGCAUGUUAAGAAACAAAAAUUUUCAAUUUUUCUACUAAAAUUAACCUAGAUGAAGUAAGAAUGACAUAUGUAGGCUUAUCCACAACCUUUGAGUGGUCAACGACGUUGGUCUCGUCUGGGGUUUAGAUUUCACUCGUGACACAUGUUUAGCUCACAUGCUCUAUUUUUAGUUAAUGUUAAUGUUCCUAAAAGUAAAUUGAAUGAAUGGAAGUAAUAUAGAUGGACACUAACUAGGGUAACUUAAGGGUAACUACUAGUAUAGGUAUAGAUAUGACAGUUGACCUAUGCAUUGCACAAGUUGACUUUGAGAAGAGUACAAGAAGGAUGUUCUUAUAUACUUAUCUUAUAAAUGAAAUGUAGCAUAUUGACUUUAUAUGAUGUUGGUAUUAUAUGAUGUUGAGUUCAGUGAUGAACAUGUCUUUGGUGUAAAUUUAAUUAUAUGAUGAUGAGCACACAUGAUAUGAUGUAAUAUGAUUAUGAGAACACAUGAUUGAAGAGUUUCCUAGCAAUUUCUAAGCAAGACAUUGAUCUUUUCCCAAGUUAAUGAUGAGUCCUAAUGUUCGAGGAUGAUAUCACUUGUCUAUCUUAAUUAGUAUUGACUUACUUAUUUGUUUUUUGUGUAUAGUUGCGUUUAUGAAAUCGUAUUGAGCAUGUUAAUGUGUUUCCAACGAAGGUUGGCAUAAGUGACUCUUGAUUAUCAUGUUGAACUCAUGUUGAUAUUCAGAAGGUAGUUCGUCAUGUUCUGAUGUUGAGAUCUUAUAUGUGGUAAAUUGUUAUUUGAGAUGCUAUGUGUAAAUGAUAUGUUUAUAUGUUGAAUGGAGUUGUGAACUACUCCUAUGAGUUGUGACUCAUGAUGAUUAUAUGUUGUUGGUUGGGCUGCUACUCUUGAGAGUGAUAUUCUUCGUACGAAAAUAUUUAGGUGCCAUUCCGGGACGAAUGUUCCUAAGGGGGAUAAUAUAACACUCCUGAAUUCCUGUGACCUAUACUAGAGCCACACCUAUCUAAUAAUGAUAAAAAUUAUGUUUCUAGACCUAGAAUAAGAUAAUAAAGUCUUGUUAGAAGUAUUAGAGCCUAAAUGUCAAAGGAAGACCUUGAUGUUAGAAACUAGUGAAAUUAAACUAGUAUAAAACUUUUAAAAGACUUUAAAAAAGUAAAAUAAUAUUUAUAGAGUAAAAACAUCCAGUCACGACUCCCCAAAGACCACCGUAAGGGUUAUUGAGGUGGAGCCAAACAUUGGCUAGAAGGCUACCAAAGCAGCAUGCGUGCUGCCAACAUAUGAAGGUCCUUGUGUUUCACGAAGCAAUUACACGGUGGGAAAAUUUAACCUCGCGACUUAGUGUCCUCACAAGGCUGACUUCCUCAACUAGAAUGUUAGAAUUAAUAAUUAGAAUUGCCCUCACGACGCGCAACCACUUCCCAUAUUCGUUCGCGCCAUUUUUUAGUCAAUUUAACUUCACAAAAAGACAACCAUUAAGUGAGGGGUGUUUAGGGUAUUUUAGGUGAGGGUUAUAUAUUAGGGUCAGUAUGAAGUCGUUUUUACCCAUUCAAAUCAAUUCCACAAAUCAAUCUCACUUCUCUCUAAAAAUUCUCUCUCUACUCAAACUCUAUUGAAAAUAAAUUUGGAGCUUGAAGAAAAAGAUCAAUUUCUCAAGUUUUACCCUUUGAUUUCGUUGCUUUAUAAACAUUAAGGUAUGGUUUCUUUGACUCUUGGAAUUUCUUUCCCCAACAGGCCCUUCCAUAGAUGAUUUUCAACUUUCCCAAAACUAGUGUUUAAAUCUAGACAGAAUUCUCUCUUUAAAACGAAAUUGUUAUUCAAUUGUGCUGAAUUAUAAUAUUUUAGCAUUGUUUUACUAACUAUUGAUGGUCAUUUGUUUGUUAUCACUCAAGAUUGUCCCUUUGAAACCUUGUUCUUCCCGACACUCACAAUGCGUUCAAGUUCGAUAGUAAUUGUAAAUUAUGAUGACUAUAUGAAUAUGUAGAAUAAUACUUGCUAUGAAUAACUUCUUGAAUUUUACAUAUUUAUGCAUUGACCAUGUAUUCUUUGGAAUUGAAGAAUGAAAGCAAUGAAAGGGAAAGAAGAUAUAAAGAUUGAUUCUUCUUGAAUUUAAUCAUGAAGUAUGAUAUACUUACAUAGUAAUGUUUCUAUUCUAAUGUAUUGUUGUGAUUUUUAGCAAGUAUACCUCAUCCUUAACCCUAGAUUAUUAAUUUCUCUAUAAAGUAUGCAAGUAUGUUAAGAUAUGAUUAUUAUAUGAUUGAAAGUAACUUCUCAUGAUUAUGAAAAAAGUGGUCCGUGAAAGGUUUACUCACUUGUUCGUGAUUUUCUAAAGUUAAAGGGUAGUUCUCACUUAUGGAUACCUAUGAGCUAUUAUAAUGAAAGGUUGACAUAGGUGUAUAGAAGAGACUAAUUUAAUCUUGUAUAAAGAGAAUGCCUACUACUAAAGGGAAUUCAUUCUUAGCACCUAAAGGGCAUGUAAAUGAGAUGGAGGUCUCAUGUUUAGUAUGUACGGCCUUUCACAUGGGCUUCUUCAAGAUUAGUAAGUCCGGUUUCCCAAGAUAUGUGUUUUCUUAUGAGAUGGAAACCUAUACGUCUAGAUGGUCAUGGUUUCUAGAAGACCAUUAAGAAUGUGACAACAUAGGACUAUAGCUUAGUGGAUGCACCUAGAUUGCUAUGUACGAAUUGUUACACCUUAGGCAAGUGUUAACCCUCUAUUUUUUGUGUUGGAGGAGAACACGGGAUUUAAUGUAGCUCAGAUGGUCUUAUGUUGGUUAUUGAACUUCUUUCCCUAUGUAAUAAGGUAAAUGAUUAUUUCAAGUAUGUGAACUAUUAUCAGGUUUGUCUUAAAGGUUCCUACAUAGGGUGAGGAAGGGUAUACGACUUCCCUUAUCAGGUUUGUCUUAAAGGUUCCUACAUGUUAUGUGUGUCAUGCUAUAUAUGAACUUAUGAAUCAAGUAUGUUAUGGUAAAUUAAUAAGUUAUGUUUUAUGCAUGUUGUAAAUGACUUAAUGAUAUGUCUAACUUUUGAUAGGGUUAUGGGCUCCAUUCUUGCUAUUGUGCAAGUAAUGCUUUGGUUUUACUUAUAAUGUUCCAUAUAUGGCCAUGUUGAGUUAUUGAAGAUAAUUCAUGGUUUUGACUAAAUUGUUUCUUUUUUCAUGCAUUGAUGAUUUUAUUCAUAGGAACCAUACAUAUUACAUAUGUUUUGUACUAACCCAUAUUUAUUCCGCUUUUCCUUAACAUUUUAGGUUCCAGACAUUGAAGAGCUUCUGGGCCACUUUUCAAGAAUACUUGGACUUCUUCCUCCAAACAGUUGGUGAGUCCUCCAUGUUUGAGGAUGGUUCCUUUUGAUAUACCCUAGUAUUAUUGCUAUUUUCUAAAGAUAUUCGUUUUUUCCCUACUCUUAAAGACAUU
This 68658-nucleotide long non-coding RNA is filed under the name Solanum lycopersicum (tomato). RNAcentral's name for it is "long non-coding RNA (SLYC_LNC000418)". The record is from RNAcentral. Lineage: Eukaryota; Viridiplantae; Streptophyta; Magnoliopsida; Solanales; Solanaceae.